RNAcentral lists this long non-coding RNA (78973 nucleotides) under Malus domestica (apple). RNAcentral describes it as "long non-coding RNA (MDOM_LNC003488)". Lineage: Eukaryota; Viridiplantae; Streptophyta; Magnoliopsida; Rosales; Rosaceae. The record is from RNAcentral.
UUUUUUUUUUUUUUUUUUUGGUAUAAAGAAAUUGUAAUAGCAUCAAAACUUUUAAUUAAAUCUUUAUUCCUUAUUUUGGUGUGACUGAACUCAAAUUUUGAAUAUUUGAGUUGCCUACGUACCCUUCCAAAGAAAGAGAUCAAGUCAAAACGUAGUUCAAAUACAUUUUUUUUUUUUGGUAUUUUCUUUUUGUACCGUUUGCAGUUUUAACUCAUGCAGGCAAGGAGUGUUGGUUUCGUUUGCAGUUUCAACUCGUGCAGACAAGGAGCAUUUGGUGUCGUGUUGCAGUUUCAGCUCGUGCAGACAAGGAGCAUUUGGUGCCGUUUUGCAAUUUCAGCUCGUGCAGGCAAGGAGCUUUGGGUUGUUGCCUUUUAGGCUCGUGCAGACCAGGAGCUUUGUGCCAUGCAGUUUAGACUCGUGCGGGCGAGGAGAAUUUUGUGAAUUUUGUCAAGCAAUUUUGGAGAGGCGUUCCUCACAAUUUUCAUAGCAAGGAGCUUUGACCGCGUGAUUGAAAAAAUCUUCGGGCAAGAAGUCGCGCAUCGUGAUGGCAACGGACGAUCUAUGUGUCGAAAUGUCAUCAUCUUCAACACGUUCACGUUGCUUUGAAGGUUGACAAGAGCUGCUUUGCCCCCUUUCCGAUUGGCGGACUUGUGGAGGAGACGUAUGCUUCUUGUGCAAUUUCUUAGGAGUGACUUGAGUCCAUCCUUCAAUUUUGCUUGUCUUGGACGAUGCCCCCAGCGGUUGAGGUGAAAACUUUGAGUCGGAAGAGCCAGAAGUGAAGGUGGUAUAGUUUGACUUCGCCACUUCGUCAAGAUCUAGCUCGAUGAUUCCUUUCUGAGCCAGUUUCAUGAUGAGAUCUUUCAGCACGAAACAUUUUUCUGUCGGAUGACUGAUGAAGCGGUGGAAUUUACAGUAUCUUGGACUGCCAGUACGAUUUAUCUCUUCUGGCCGUCUGCACUCAGGCAAGCCGAUCACCUUCUUUUCCAGCAAGUCUUCUAACAUGGCAACCACAUCAGAGUCGGGGAAUGGAUAAGUUUUCUCCUCGAGCUCCUUCAAAGUGCGUCUACGCAUCUCUUGAUCACGAAAGCCUUCGGCUUGAAUCGCCUUGCCUCGUGUGGAGAUUUUGACAGGAGAUGUGUUGACCGUCAUCGCUUCCUUGGUGGGUUUCCAUGCAGCCUUUUCCACCUUUGUCUCAAGAACUUUGUCAUUCUUGUAGUUGGCGAUUGGUUCCUUCUUCCCAUGAUGGGCGAUCAACUCCAUGUCAUGGGCGCGAGUGGCUAAUUCCUCGAAGGUCCGUGGUUUAAUGCCUUGAAGGAUGUAUUGCAAACCCCAUUGCAUGCCUUGGAUGCACAUCUCGAUUGAAGAGGUUUCCGAGAGCCUGUCUUUACAGUCGAGGCUUAGAGUGCGCCAUCUGUUGAUGUAGUCAAUGACUGGCUCGUCCUUCCACUGCUUUGUGCUCGUUAGCUCUAGCAUGCUCACAGUGCGGCGGGUGCUAUAGAAGCGGUUGAGGAAUUCCCGCUCUAAUUGUUCCCAGCUGUUUGAUGGACUCAGGCUCUAGGUCUGUGUGUACCACUCAAAGGCGUUUCCUUUCAGCGAGCGCACAAACUGCUUGGCGAGGUAAUCCCCUUCGGUUCCUGCGUUGUUGCAAGUUUCAACGAAGUGGGCAACGUGCUAUUUCGGGUUUUCCCUUUCCAUCAAAUUGCAUGAACUUUGGUGGUUGAUAACCCCUCGGCAUCCUUAAGGCGUCGAUCUUCUUUGAAUACGGCUUUGAGUACAACCCGGAGGUAUUUGAGCUCCCUUCGUACUGUGCCUUGAUGGUGUUGGUGAUCAUCUCUUGCAGCUGCUGGAUAGAAAGAGAUCCCAUGAGUGCCGCUGCUUGGUCUGGCUCCGGCUUCGCAUCGUUUUUCUCCACCUGAGGCUCUUCGUCUCCGCCAGCUCCUCCUUUUAGUGGAUCAUCCUCUGGGUCGGGUUUAUCGCCGUCCUGCGCCUCCAGUCGGUUGACUAGUGCUGCAAUUUGCAAGUCUUUUUCUUCCACAGUUUGGGUUAGCCUUGCGAUUGCUUCAUUCAUUUGAGCCAGCUGCUCAUCGAUUGAAGUUGCUCCAAUGGUCAUGACUUGCAUGGCUGAACUGUCGCUUGAAUCGGCAUCAGAGAGCAUGGAUUCGGAGUAUUUCCUUGGGCUUUCCCCCCUUGGUACCCUUAGUGAGGCUAAGGUGAUCAAAGGCUCGUGCCUUGGGUGCUUUUGUUCCUUUGGCAGAGUUGAUGCAGAGGUGAAAGAGGCGGCAAAAGUAGCUCUUGCCAUGCUUCGAGUCGUGAUGCCCAAAGUGACACCAGUUGCGACGAGGACGCUUUUGUUCUUUGCGCCGGUUACGGGAACAGUUUGAGCCUUCCUUGAUGCCAUUAAUUUUGGAAGUGCGCUUGAAUUUCUUGAACGGAGAAAGAGAUGAGAGGCAGAGAUUGUCCCACUGGGCGUGCCAAUUUGUGAACACGGAAAAUUCCUGAAACGAAAGAGACAAGAACGAACGUGCACAAACAAAUAUUUGUAUUUGAUGAUUUUGGGUUACAAUCUCUCUCUAUUUUGAUCCUCUGAUUCGAUCUCCGUAAGGUGUUGAUUUGUGGGAUGUGCGAUUGAUCCAAGGGCCGUCGAGGCUUGAUCUUGGAUAAACGAGGAUGAACGGAUCUUCGAGGGCUUUUGAGCUUGAUCUUGAAGAAUGGUGAUUGACGGAUCUUCAAGGGCUUUUGGGCUUGAUCUUGAAGAACAGUGAUGAACGGAUUUCCGAGGGCUUUUGGGCUUGAACUCGAAGAACAGUGACGAACGGACCUUCGAGAGCUUUUGGGCUUGAACGGAUCUUCGAGGGCUUUUGGGCUUGAUCUCGAAGAAUAGUGAUGAACGAUGAACGCUUUUCUCAAGGGCCGUCGGGGCUUGGGCUUGAUGAACAGCGAAUGAGCGGAUUUGUUGAUGUUGUCGAUCCAAAGGGGCCGUUGGGGCUUGAUCCUUGAGGAUGAACAGUUGAUGAACGAUGAACGCUUUCUUCAAGAGGCCGUUGAGGCUUGGGCUUGAAGGUGGAUGAUUGUUGAUCCAAGGGCCGUCGGGCUUGAUCUUGGAAGAACGAUGAACGAAGAACGCUUUCUUGAUUCUUCGGGAACCUGGAUGCUUGAGAGCUUCGGAGUUUCAGAGCUUCAGAGCUUCAAGAGUUUUUGCCUAAUGAUUUUUUUGGUCCCUUAAAUGAAUGAAAUGGGCUUGUAUUUAUAGAAUUUUCCAAUGCCUAAUUUUGAAUAUAAUAUCCCAGAUGAAAUAAGUCGUUUCUGCCAGGUGUUGACACGUGUCCUAUUUGAUGAUUUUUCCAACUCAUUUCAAUUUUCGUUGAGUCACACGCUACGUGUAAAAUUUAUGUAAUACAUGAGCGUUGACACUUUGAUUUAUCGGUCAACAUUUAUUUACGAAAUUUCGAUGUCUACAGAAUCAAAAUGGUUUUAUAUUUCUAAUACGGUGGUGGGCAUGAAUUAAAGGGGAGACGACAGAGGAAUUAUGCAUGACUCUCGGUAGAGUUUGCUCAUGUGGAAGCAAUCCUCCGACGCAACGUAUAAAAAUAUUAAAUUCAAAUGAAAAAUUUAUGUUCGUGUAGAAAAUGUAAAAUCAUGACUAUAAGGCUGGGAUAGAGCCACUUAAGCUACAAGUUAAAUAAUAUUUUUCUUCUUUUACAAGUAAGAAGUUUUAAGUUUGAUUUUCGUUAAAAGAGAAUUUGAACCAAAUUAGCCAAGACUUUCUGGGGCCUUCUCUUUCUGGGGCUCUACCGACUGCUGAGACUUCUCCUAAGCAACCUUUGUGAAGGCUCCCUCUUGUUUGUUUAUUUUGACUCAAGUAUAUGUACAUAUUUGUAACUUAUCGGGGAUAUCAAUAAAUAAGCUUUCCUUCAUUUCAACGUAUUGUGUUAAAUACACCAAAGCUUUCUUCGCUAAGUUCUUUGAAUUUUCUUUUGUUGAAGCUUUGUGAGUGGAGCAUGUAGGCUGAGGUAGUGUUCCCUUAAUUUUCCGAGUGAGGAAAACUUCUCGGUUGGAGACUUGGAAAAUCCAAGUCACUGAGUGGGAUCGGCUAUAUGAAUCUUAGAACGCCAUUGUGUUCUGUCCUGUGUCAUGUCCUCCGUUAGAUCCAAGUACUCUAAGUCUUUUCUUAGGGUCUCUUCCAAAGUUUUCCUAGGUCUUCCUCUACCCCUUCGGCCCUGAACCUCUGUCCCAUAGUCGCAUCUUCUAAUCGGAGCGUCAGUAGGCCUUCUUAUGUAAAAUCAUGACUAUCAAGGCUGGGAUAGAGCCACUUAACCUACGAGUUAAAUAGUAUUUUUCCUCAUUUGUAAAUGAUAAGUCUUAAGUUUGAUUUUCGUCAAAGAGAAUUUGAACCAAAUUAGCCAGACUUUUAAAGCCCGGCCCAAGUUGAGUUUUGUUUGAACUCCUUGUAUAAUCCACAAAUUAAAAUUAAAAAGUAAAUAAUUGCAAAAAGAAGGUUCCGCUGCCGCGAAUCGAACCCGGGGAGUCGGUGUUGAGUUUUGUUGAGCUAUUCGCUUACGUCAGCGAUAAAACCUCUCAUUUGGAAGGCCGAAGGCCUCGCAGCUCAUUUCUGUAGCGGUGUAGCCCUAACCCAACCUAGUUGAACGAAACUCUCUCGCUCUCUCUCCCCCCCCCUCUCUCUCUCAUCACUCCCGCCGUCGCCUCUCUCUUUAGGGCUUUUCAUCGGCAGUUGCUUCAUUCAUAUUCUGCCGGUAAGAGUUUGUUUCCAAUGGAUUUGUGUUGUUUAUUUAUUCCCUUUGAUUGUUUUUGUUGUCAUCUGCCUCGAAUGGAUUCCGUUUCUAUUGUUAUUUGCAAAUUUGUGUUUUGGGUUUUGCUUAAUUCGUUUUCUCAACUGAGAAAUAGGAUUAUUUUCGUUUGAUUUAUCAUGUAUUAUGAGCGCGAAACCAGGUGGAUAGAAAUUUUCGUGUUAAUGAUUAUAUUUUUUUAUUUAAUUGGAGUUAUUUUCCUGAAAUCUUUAGUUUUAUGAACUAAAUUCAACGCUUCGACUCAUGAGAACAAGAAACAAUUUUUAUUCUGAAUCUUAUUUUAAUUUUUCAGAAUUCAGAAAUGGGUUUGUUUAUACUCUGCAUAUAUAUCUGUUCGUGCGAAAAAAAAUUCAAACUUUGCCGUGACAUAAUACUAGCAAUCUGGUUCUUAUAAUUGUUGUUGUUCUUAUAAUUGUUGUUUUUGUGUUUGCGUUCACCAGCAAUGGCCGAGGAAGCAAUGGCUGAGGACGCAGGUAUGUUUAUGGUUCAUCAGACUGUUGGGAGCGUACUAUGUUGCAAAUGCGGUAUUCCCAUGGCACCAAACGCUGCCAAUAUGUGUGUCAAGUGUCUGCGCUCUGAAGUUGAUAUUACGGAAGGUCUGCAGAAGCAUGUCACCAUUGUUCAUUGCCCUGAGUGUGAGUGCUACUUGCAGCCUCCAAGAACUUGGAUCAAAGCCCAAUUGGAGUCGAAGGAGCUGCUGACCUUCUGCGUUAAGAGACUCAAGAACUUGAAUAAAGUUCGGUUGGUGCAUGCUGAAUUUAUUUGGACUGAGCCUCACUCCAAGAGGAUCAAGGUUAAGUUGAAAGUUCAGAAGGAGGUCCUUAAUGGAGCAAUACUUGAACAAUCAUAUAUUGUUGAGUAUGUUCAGCAAGAGCAUAUGUGCGAAUCCUGUUCAAGGGUUCAGGCCAACCCUGACCAGUGGGUUGCAUCUGUGCAACUCCGCCAGCAUGUUUCUCACAGGCGCACAUUUUUCUAUCUGGAGCAGCUGAUCCUGAAGCACGGUGCUGCUGCUAGUGCUAUAAAGAUAAAGCAGAUGGAACAAGGUAUCGACUUCUUUUUCUCAAACCGAAGUCAUGGUGUGAAAUUUGUGGAAUUUGUGGGCAAAGUUGCUCCAGUAAGGAGUCGCAGUGACAAACAGCUUGUUUCCCAUGAUUCUAAAAGUAACAAUUAUAAUUAUAAGCAUACAUUCUCUGUUGAAAUAAGCCCCAUUUGCCGUGAAGAUUUGAUUUGUCUGCCUCCCAAGGUCAGGUCUAGUUUGGGAAAUCUUGGUCCCCUCGUGAUUUGCACCAAAGUGACCAAUAGUAUUGCUUUGCUUGAUCCGCUCACCCUGAGGCAUUGUUUCUUAGAUACUGAUCAGUAUUGGAGGUAUUCCUUCAAGUCUCUGCAUACAAGCAGGGAGCUGGUGGAGUAUAUAGUGCUUGAUAUGGAGAUUAUUUCCCCUGAAGUUAAUGUUGGUGGCUCAAGAUAUGCUCUAGCUGAUGCACAAGUUGCUCGCGUGUCUGAUUUUGGGAAGAAUGACACUAUUUUCAACAUAAAAACACAUCUCGGCCAUAUUUUAAGCCCAGGUGAUUAUGCUCUUGGUUAUGACAUGUAUGGGGCUAACAGCAAUGAUGAUGAACUAGAGAAAUACAGGAGUCUGGUCAUUCCAGAUGCAAUCUUAAUAAAGAAGAGCUACGAAGAAAAGCGGCAGAAGAAGCGUGGGAAGCCUCGUCCCUGGAAGCUUAAAUCCCUUGGAAUGGAGAUUGAUGAUAAAAAUAAAACAGAUCAAGAAAAGGUGGAGUCGGAGUAUGAACAGUUCUUGAAGGAUCUGGAGGAGAACCCUGAGAUGAGGUUUAACAUGUCACUGUACAAGAAUGAAGAAUACCAGCCGUCAGAGAUGGCAUCUAUGACUGAUGGGGAAGAUGCACCUUCUGUCCCACUUGAAGAGUUGCUUGAUGACCUUAAACUUCGUGACUCCGACCAUGACGUUGAAGAUGAGGAAGACGAUAGUAGCAUGCGGGAGUAAAUGGUGGUUUAAACUGAAUAUUAAGUUCGUCACUGGGUACCUUCUUUAGUUUGGUUUUCCUUUAAAAUUGUUUUUCGUAUGUUUUUUUUUUCCUGCUUACAACAGUGGCUGUUUGUUGUACGGAAGAGUUGAGUGGACCCUUAUUUGGAGCUAAAUAUGCUUGUUAGUUUUUAUUACAGUAGUGAGAAGUAGGAUGAAUGCACAAGAUACUUCUACUCAAAGGCUUUUGAAUUUUUGUCAGGACGAUGGCAAACAAAAUUUCUAUGGUGCUUUGGAGUAUUCGACUCUCUGGAGUACUAGUAGUAUAGAAAAUCUCUUUCUCAUGCUCCGGAGCAUCCUUCAAUUGUCACGUUGUAUAUCGAACUGAUAUACAAGUAUAAAAUCAACUGAAACUUUCUUCUUUAAAAAGAUAUUUGAAAUUAAAUGACAAUGGCACAAAAGAAGAAAAAGCCCUUUCACAAAAAGCAUAAAACUAAGGGUUGGUUUGGUAUUGAUGUGCUUUGAAAAAAAACUGCUGGGAGAAUAAUCGGCUGUGCUGUGAGAAUAAGCGGCUGUGAAAUAAAUCAACAGAGUGUUUGGUAAACUUUUUUGUAAAAGUGCUUUUGGAAAGAAAAAAAAAGCAGUUUGAUAGUGGGUCUUUUUAUUAAAGGAGCACUGUAGCUCCGUGUGCUUUGAAAAAAAACCAAUUUUUCAAAGCUGCAAAUAGCAGCUUCAGCUUUUUCCUUUGAUUUCAGCUUGCAAAUAGCAGCUUCAGUUUUUUCCUUUGAUUUCAGCUUAUUCUCACAGCAGCUUCCAAAAUAAGUUUUUUUUUUUUUCAGUUUACCAAACACCUAAAAUUCUCACAGCUUUUUUUUAUGGGUGCUUUUUUUUUAAGCACCUCAUUCCCAAACCACCUCUAAAGCAGCUAUUACAAAAAGUAGUAAUCUAAAGCAUGACAAUUGACAAAAGAAAAAGAAAAAAGAUAGCAGAUAGCAGAUGACAUGGUAGUAGAGCGUGAUGGGUUUCUUCCAAGAACCUGAGACUUGGCAUCUGCUCUUCUUUCAGCACGGAGAAGAAAGAAACGCCCCAUUUUCGUAUUUACCGCUACAUACGCCUGAGAAAGGAUGGAAAAUAAGGUAAAUGAAAAUCCAAAAUCAUAAGGAGUAAUGUUCGACUUUUCAUAUUUCUAAAAUAAACAAUGUGUUUCCAAUUUCAUAACAAAAGGCUAUGGUUUCAAGAUUUUACCUAUAUGAGGGCAUUCACUUCAUUCUUGUAAGCUUCGGUUAUGCUAGUUCAGUCACCUACCCUACCCUAGUACACGGUAUGCUACUCAUUCAUCCUUAUUGUCUCGACUGUAUCUUGGUUAACAAAUUCAUCAUUUAGAUUAAAGAUGUAGUUGAGAUAACUGAUUCGGUAACGGACCGUUUGAGAACCAUUUCACUUAUUUUGGUUUUCACUUUUUGUACUUCAGAACUAAUGAAAACCAAAACACUAAAAACGAAAUGGACCCUAAACUUUUGUGCAGGAAAUAGAAAUCUUUAUCAUGGCAUUGUAAGUGACAUUAUCAUGACCAACCAACCUCUUCAUAAAUGUUUUAAAUGCUGCCCAUGAUUAAGGGGUUUUCCUUCUGAGAUUUUGAUCUCAAGGCAUGAGUUAGAAAACACUUAAAUUAGGACCCCAUUGUGCACCUCAAACAUUCAUAUAUAAUUUAACAACUAAGAUACAAAUCCUCAACUUAAGUUCUACAUGCACACACAAACACACACAUGAUAUAAGUACAGUGCCGGUGCAACAAAGUUACACUUGCAAAUUGAAUUGUACAAUGGUCUCGUGGAUGGGACUACUUUUAGAGAAAAAAGAGUACCUGUGGUCUUUCUGAAGUUUGCUCAAUAUAGCAUCCAGGUCCAUGUGCAUUCUUAAACUAUCCGAAGAAACGUUCUUUAUCAAGUGUUGUAUUGCUGAUGCAGCUUGUUCCUGAAUGCAAACAAGGAGAUUAAGACCAACAGCUAUACUCGUUUCCUACAAUUAAAUAACUAAUGGGGCAUUUCAAAAGAUAAAAAGAAAAAAGAAAGUCUGGAUGGAUUUCAAAGUUCAAGAACCAAAGAGUAAAGUUUACAGUAAAGGCAAGAACUAAAGUAAUACGAGCAAAUAAACAUCAAGCAUUACUGGUCUAGUAAUGUCUCUUCCAAGCAUUGCGUAUCAAUACACAAUGGAAGACUGCUCUGAAUGGAUAACAUUGAAACAGCAAUGAAAAGUUCCAUAUUUUAUAUAGCACGAUGUUUCAUAUAUGCUAGAUACUUAGAAUUCUUAUAACCAUAGUAAGAUUUCUGUUUAUCAGCUAAGCUCCAUAUACUAGGGUAACUUAAUAGCUUCUCGGUUCAGAGUCAACCUUUAGGUUAGGUAACUUAAUAGCUUCUCGGUUCAUAGUAAGGUUUUUGGCCACUUGAUUAGUGGCCAAGUGGCCAAAAACCUUUCGGUGCAUAUAAUAAAAAAUAAAGGAUAUAAUGAUGUGGGAACAUCAUUAUGAGGAGACAAAUGAUUAUGUUUCCUUUUGUUUUGUUGAAUUUUCAAAGGCAGAGAAUUUGGUUUUUUACUUCCACCCUUUACCUUUGGAGAAGUAGAGAGAGUAUCAUUUGUUUUUUGGAGAAGCCCAACUUUGCUCAGAGAGCAGAGCAUCCGAGCAGAGAAGAAAGGUGUGCUGCAUUCCUCAUUGGAAGAGAGCACCUCUCUUCAGUUAGUAAUCAUUCAUCAAAGUUGUAUUUGUUGUAUUAGCUUUGAGCUUUGUAUAGAGAGGAAAUUAUUCACAAUAUUUCCUUCACUAUUUGGUUCUUUGGUGUGUGAGAGCUAUUGGUUGUAUUGGGGUUUUCGGUUGUGAGAUUGCCAACACUUUGUAAACUCCCAUUUGGUCGAUAGUGGAUUAUUAGGUGAGCUCCUACUGCUCCGAGGACGUACUCCAGUUAAACUGACUGUUGAGGAACCUCGUUAAAAUCUUGGUGUCUUUUACAUUUUGCUCUUGCAUUCCAUUUGAUAUAUUUCCUGUGGGUUAGCUUGAGUUGGUUCCAAUUGGUUUGGUGCUAUCCUAGCACAACACUUAUUACUUAACUGUGUCUUUCAUACUGCCCCUCCAGGCAUCCUCUUACACAUUUUUCACCCUUUGGUUUAUUACUCUAUCCAUCUUAAUUUAGCUAUAGGCUUUGGUUCCAUAUGCAAUUCCUGGCAACCCAAAUACUUUUCAAGGAGGAAAACAAAAGCAAAUCUCUAACUGAACAAUAUGACCAUUCAAAACAAAACAUGCCAGGGUAAAACGUAAAACAUAACUACAACCAUGUUCAAAUAAGCACAAGGGAACUUGGCCUAUCAAAAUUGAAGUAGAGAGAUCUAGCAAAGACGAGGCACAAUUAUGUAAAACAUUACUGAUAAAAACCGAGCAAGUAAUCACAAAAUAACAUAACAGAUAGUAAAUUCAUAAACCCGCACCUUUAAUCUUGGAAUCGAAUGUUGGUCAAGUGCACUAACUAGUGCAGGCACAAUCCUCAAAUGAUGAAGAAUCUGCAUUGCCUCAAUCAGGAUUAUAGGCAGUUGCAUAAAAUUAAAAGCUGCACAACAAACUUGAGACUGGGGAUCUUGGAAUGAUUUCAAAAUCAUGGUUGUAACUUGUUCCAAAUAUUUUUUCAUCAGUACCUGCACUAAAGGAAUGGGUUGAGACAUAUCAAUGAUUUAAAGGAUCGCAUAUAAUGAUGAAAUAACAGGUACUGGAUACCUGAGUUACUAACCACGUGCUAAGUUUACUAACACAAGCUUGUGCACUAUAAAUAGCUCAGACUAACAGGAGAUAAUCUAGCUUUAUCAUUAACAAACCUUAAACCCCAGUCCCAGGGCAAAUGCGCAAACCAGAAAAUCUAUAUGGUGUGUAUACCAUUCCUUCAUCUUUUAUUGAUACCGACACACAAUGUUAGUUGACUGAACCAUAUAAAAAGACAAGUUAUGGUUUUUAAGACUGGUUGGUAACUCAGGUAAACCAACUAACCAUCAUACUUAGAUGAUCUGCAGUACAGUACCAUAUCACAUAAAUAUUUCUGAAUACCAGUAGGCAAAAAUCAAGCAAUCAACCAGUCAUAGAACUAUUACCAUCUCCUCUGAGCACUCCUUUGCAAUAACCGCUAGCAUAGAAAUUCCUGCGUGGCGCUUCUUCCAAUCGGAAGCAUCCAUGUACUCCAAGAACAACUCAAAAGCUAUGGGGGUCAUUGUCUUUUCACCUAAGGCGGUUGAUAUUUUUGUCAGGUAUGCAAUUCCAAGAUCUGUCUUCCCAGCAUUCUCAGCCUGCUCGCUUUCUGUGUUGUAACAUGCAUAGUCAUCAUUUAUACUGAGAAGCAGUUUCAUUGGGACUGCCAGCAGUUUAACCAAAGUCUGAUGUGGCAGCCCCCUCAUUGUAAGUGCCAAAUCGCUUGCUUCUACUACGGUCAGCAAGAAUUUGUGAACAAACACUUUGGUUCCCUCUGUCACCUGUUCACUGUCUACUAUCUUAAGCAUAUCAAGUACUAGUUCGUUAAGGUAGGGCUUCAAGAGUUGUGGCUCUUCCUUUACCAACAUUAUUAACUCCUUGAGAGCCCCGCGAGCAUAGUCUUCUUUCAAGUGACUUAACAAAUUAAACAGUCCAACCAUCAUCCCCCUCAAAAGGUCAUGAAACCAAUUCCGCCCUAAUGAAUUCGAAAACAAAUGGAUCAAACUAACCACAGCACCAAAUGUCGCAACCUGAAUAUCAGCAUUUUCCGAAUUCAACAUACGCAAAAAUGCUGAGUGGGUAGGUUCAAUGCUAGGAGCUAACGUUUCACAAAUAACCGGACGAUACACUUUUGGGAAAAAAGAACACACCCACAAAGCAGAAAGCUGAAACCUUUCGGAGUCCGACUGAAAAGACAUCAACAAAUAGUCAAUGAGCUCCGGCCACUCAUCGCCAGUCCUAGAAAUCUCCACUGCCAUUUCAGAUGCAAUGAGACAGAGAAUCCUCAAAAUGGGCAAUGAGCCCUCUUCAUGAAGGCGAACAAGAAAUAGAUUUUUAAGGUUAAUUUGAGCAUUCAAUGACAACUUCGGCCAAAGGUCACCGAGCACAAACCGGAGAACAAGCGCAGACCUGGUGCGAAUCUCUGCGGAAGGCCCGUUCCUAAUCACAAAGAAAACCUUGAUGAAAAGCAAAUCCGGGAAGUGCUUUCUGCAACAAUGUAGAAGGCUAUAGGCCUGAGAUUUUUGGGGCUCUUGAGGGCUGAAGAGAUGAGAAAGGAGCGUCUCCAUUGGCUGCACAUCGUUCGAACUCAGAGUUGCGUAGGCUUGCAUUUGCAAUUGCUGAGAAAAUACCGGCUCCAUCGUCGUUCUUCGCUGAAUUUGGUUUUCAGGAAUCGUCAUUUCGAAUGUGGGGUUCUGAGGAACUAGAGGAUUCGCUCGAGAAACCAAAAGUUGGUGGUUGACGGUUCGAUUUACUGAUGAAUAAAUGAGUUUUGGGUUGUGAGACUUGAGACACAAGAAAGGUAGAACCAAACCAAAAUUUGGGAGGGCACAAGGAAGACUGUCUGCACUGCCCAAUGCAAGCUUUUACAUUUUUCAAAGGAAAUUGCAAUGUAUAACGAAAUAGUUGAAUUUUCCAGUUACAAGGUAAAUAUGCCUUCUGAGCCGGAAAUUUUGAGUUUGUUUCUUAUUGGGCCAGAAAAAGUUAGAUACUGAUAAGGAUGAGUUGAAUAAUUGGGUGCAAGUGCACCGUAUCUAACUCUUAUGAAGACUCGCGUCUAUUAAUCUUGGUCUAGUGUAAAAAUAAUACAACAAGAUUUAAACUUACAAAAGGAUGCGAGGUUGAUAUUAUUACUUUUACUUUUGAUCUUGUACGUUGUGUUGAGAAACAAACAUACUUUAAUACAUUCGACAACACCUUACAUACAUAAAGAAAAAAUUUCAUCUCCCUGAUACUUUUUCACGUAAAACUUUCAAUGGUUGUCGUCAAUGUCCAUAUUAAUUUGAUUCCUUAUACAAUCAUACAUGUAACAUUCACACUACUUGUCAUAACAAUAUUAUUAUUUUAUGUUAAUAUUAUCGAUGUGAUUUUAGUAGAAACUGAAAAGCCUCCGCCAAAACUUGAAACCUUGCCGCCAAAACUUCAAAAAUAGGGUUUUUUAAAGAAUAACACUUUCCAAAGCUCCAAUGCCGAACUAAGCAGAGGAAGUCCCGAAGAAAGAAGAUUAGCAUAGAAAUGAGGUCAAGGAAAGCUCCGGUGGCAUUUAGGGCGGCGGGGCAGCGCUCACUGCCUUCAUUAUUCUCGUCUUGCUCAAAAACGCCGUAAGGGAAAAGUCACCAAACCCAACGUUUUUCUCUUUUGUCGAUUAAAUUGGAGUUGAUUUUUGUUAGAUACAAUUGUUUUGAGUGGAAUUAGGGCCAAGGUUGCAGAAGAAAAUCCAGAUGAAGGCAACAAUGUGCCACUUUCGGACUCUUCAGAGAGGAAGCUGCUCCGGACUUCUGCAAAAUCCACAACAGUAAAGGUACCCAUUUGUUACCUUCUGUUUGGUUGCUGAGAAAAUUGUGAGGGAAAGAAAGAGACAAAUCAAAUACUGGGUUUUAUAUUUUCUGUCCAGAUUUACUGUUUUCUCUGAUUAUUAGAAGCAAAAGAGGAAUCUUGUAGGCUACAUUUUACCCAAGUGAAUCGUACUUUCGUGAAAAAUUGCAACUUUAAGUUGCCAAAGGCAACUAGUUGUAUUGUAAAUUUGUAGAAUUUUUUAUGUGUAUUUCAUGAAGAAACAAUUACAAAUGAAACAUAUAUAUAGGAAAAGAAAGUAGACAUAAGCCUAACUUGCCUAACUUGCCUAACUUGCCUAAUUUCCUAACUUGCCUAACUUGCCUAAUUUACACAAAGAAUGUUGACUAGCCUAACUUCACUAGUCAUCCAACAUGUUUAUUUCAUGCAUACAUUUUAACACAAGAUAUGACUUGCAUGCAUUCUUCCAACACUCCCCCUCAAGCUGGAUCGAGGGGAUUCGCUGAGCCAAGCUUGCCCAAUAACCGAUGAAACUGAGAUGAUGCUAGUGCCUUUGUAAAAAGAUCUGCUAGUUGCUCAUUGAUCUUCAUGGCUUCGUGUGAACAUGGUCCGGAUGAUUUGCGUUUGAACUUGAGCUCUGAUGAAAUGACAAUCCACUUCAAUAUGUUUGGUUCUUUCAUGGAACACAGGAUUGGCAGCAAUGUGCAUGGCUGCCUGAUUAUCACACAUAAGCGUCAUAGGAGUAGAACUAGGAAACCCUAAGUCUGAAAGAAGCCCUUUAAGCCAAAUGAGUUCACAUGCAGUGGCUGCCAUGGCUCGAUACUCAGCCUCUGCGCUGGAUGCUGGAACGAGCAAUUACUUGUUGCUUCUUACUCUUCCAUGUGACAAGGUUUCCACCAACAAAUGUACAAUAGCCUGUGAUUGAUUUCCUAUCAAUUGCAUUACCUGCCCAGUCUGCAUCUGUGUAGCCACUAAUGACAGUGGACUGAUUGUUUAUGCAUUGUAAUUCCUUGCCCAAUUGAACCCUUAAGAUAACGAAGGAUUCUCUUAACAAGGUUAAGGUGAUCAACAGUGGGAGAGUGCAUGAACUGACUAGCCAAGCUCACUGCAUAUGUGAUAUCUGGACGAGUGAUAGUGAGGUAUAUGAGCUUGCCUACUAAUCGUUGAUAGUAGCUUACAUCAUGCAUGGCUUCUCCAUCUAUGCUGAGCUUCAGUUUACAAUCAACGGGAGUGAUAGCAGGCUUGCAGUCAAGCAUUUUUGCUUCUUGAAGGAGGUCCAAUACAUAUUUCCGUUGAUGUAGAAACAGUCCUUUUGAAGAUGUGGCCAUUUCGAUCCCCAAAAAAUACUUUAACCUCCCCAAAUCUUUGAUAGCGAAAGCUUGAUGUAGUGAAAGUUUUAGUGCCUCAAUCUCCAUGGUAUUAUCUCCAGUGAUGAUAAGAUCAUCAACAUAGACGAGGACCACCAACUUCCCCUUGGUGCCAGUUCUUACAAAUAACGAAGAAUCAGCAUUACUUCGCAUGAAUCCAGCCUUUUCCAGAACAGAACUGAGCUUGGCAUACCAAGCUCUUGGUGAUUGUUUCAAUCCGUAUAUUGCCUUGUGCAAUUUACAAACCAUGUUGCCUUUAAUACCAUCAUAUAGCCUGGAGGAGGUUGCAUAUAUACACUUCUUCCUGCAGCUCGCCGUGAAGGAAAGCAUUCUUCACGUCCAUUUGGUAGAGUGACCAUCCACAAUUGAUUGCAACUGACAGUAAAACCCUGACUGAGUUCAUCUUGGCCACUGGUGCGAAUGUUUCCUUAUAAUCUACACCAAAGGUUUAGGUGAAACCUCGAGCAACAAGUCUAGCCUUGUGUCUCUUGAUAGAUCCAUCAGCUUUGAAUUUAGUCUUGUAAAUCCAACGACUUCCAACAGCCUUUUUUCCUGGUGGUAGUUGAACUAGGCUCCAGGUGCAAUUCUCUUCCAGUGCCCGAAUCUCUUCUUUCAUGGCUUGGUUCCAUUGUGGGAGAAGAGAAGCUUCUUGAAAGCUUCUUGGUUCAUAGUGCUUAUCAAUUUCACUGAGAAAUGCAGCGUGAGAUGUUGAGAACUUACUAAAGCUGAUACAUUCAUUGAUUGGAUGUCGUGAGGCAUAUGUAACAUAGUCCUGCAACCUAGCUGGAGGUUUUCUGAUUCGAGGAGGAUUUCUUUUAAUCACCUGAGACUCUGUAGAGGGCGGAGAAGGAUCAGAGUAGGGCUCCUCUUCACUCUCACUGGCAGUAAUUUGGUCAGUUUGAACUUCUUCACAAUCUGGACUUACAAUGACUGAUCUCUUUUCCAACAUCGGAUAAUUAAAGUUUUGAGGGAGUGGGAACAUGUCAACUAAAUCCUCCCCCUGACUUGUAAAAUAGGGAUAGUCUUCUUCGAACUUCACAUCUCUUGAAACUGUGCACUUCUUAGUGACUGGAUUGAAGCACUUGUAUCCCUUUUGAGUGGUCGAGUAUCCCAUAAACACACACUUGGUUGCCCUGGCAUCUAGUUUGUCACGGUUCAAGGUUUGGAUGUGAACAAAACACACACAACCAAACACCUUGAGAUGUGUCAAAUCUAUUUUCCUCCCCUUGAGAACUUCAUAGGGAGAUUUAAACCCUAGCACACGACUUGGAAGUCGAUUGAUGAGAUAAGUGGCAGUAAGGAUGGCAAACGACCAAAAUUUCUUUGGAACGUGCAUGUGAAUCAUGAGAGCACGAGUUUUUUCCAAGAGAUCUCUAUUUUUCCUCUCGGCUACUCCAUUUUGUUGGGGAGUCCCCACACAGCUGGUUUGAUGUAUGAUACCCUGAGAACUUAUGUAUUGAAGCAUGUUGUUGGAUAGAAAUUCAGUGCCAUUAUCUGACCUUAAAACCUUAAUGUUUGAUUGAAAUUGCGUUUUAACAUGCAUGUGAAAGUCUUUGAAAAUGGUAGGGACUUCAUUUUUUGAUUUCAUAAGAUAUAGAAAACUUGUUCGAGAGAAAUCAUCAACAAAUAAAAAAGGUCGUACCCAGUGCACAAGGCUCCCGCUUUACGCAGGGUCUGGGAGAGGUGAAUGUCGGCUAGCCUUACCUCCAUUUAUGGAGAGGCUGCUCCCAAGUCUCGAACCCGAGACCUACCGCUCAUGGGCGAAGGCACUUGCCAUCGAUUCAGUUGCAGGUCCCCAUACAUCGGUGUGUACCAUUUCAAAAGGUUUACUUGUCCUAGACAUUGAAUUACCAAAAGGUAGCCUAGUAAACUUAGAAAAUUGACAAGUAUCACAAGUAGGAUAGGGGUUACAAAAAUUUGGAAACAGUUUCGACAAGACAAGUUCAGAAGGGUGAGCUAAUCUCCUAUGCCAAAGUUGGUUUUCAUCUAUGGACUUCGAUUGAGCUUGAAGAGCCUGAGUGAAACAUGCAUUCUUGCACAGGUAGUAAAGUCCAUUUAUGAAGACCCCUUCACCAAUCAUCUUCAUGGUGAGAACAUCCUGAAACAUUACUUUAUUUGGUGAGAAAAUAGCACGGCUUACUUUAUUUGGUGAGAAAAUAGCACGGCAGUUUAGGGUGUUGGUGAUCUUUCCAAUUGACAAAAGUUGGAAGGGAAAGGUUGGUACAUAGAGGGCAGUGGAAGGUGUUUUUUGAGAGAGUAAGUUUAUUUCUCCUUUUCCCAAAACUAAGACAUUUUUUCCAUUUGCAACAGACACAUGUGAGGGGCUUGAAAUUUUUUUAAAAUGAUGUAAAUUUGUAACUUUGUUUGUCAUAUGAUCUGUGGCGCCUGAAUCAAUUAUCCAACAAUCAAUUUCAGUACUAGUUAAUAGGGCAGUAGUAAAGGCAUUGAGUAUACCUGAUGCUUCUCCCUUUGGAACUUUCUCAUUUCCAGCAAGAAAUCCGGCAAAUUGUCCCAACAUAGCUGUGUGACUACCCUCUUCAUUGCCUUGACCAUGUGAGCCUCCUCCGUGCCCCUUACUUUGUAGGUAAGCUGCAAAUUCAUUGAUCAAUGACAAUGGAUUGGCAGUGAACUCCAUGGAUCCUUGUGAGAUAGUAGGAGCGUGAGCAUUAGCAAGUUGUGCCUUGAAAUGAGGUUGAAAUUGUUGUGAGGACCUUGGUAUCAUCCUUCCAUCUUUCCUGAACUUAGGCUUGAGUUCAGGAUGAAGUUCCCAACAUUUGUCUUCCUCAUGACCAACACCAUUGCAAUAUUUGCAUUUUAGAUGUGUGUUUCUUCCCUUGUAUACCUUGGCUUCUGAGUUCUUGUACUUUGAUGCAUAUGCCCGAGUCUCCAUUAAUCUAGGAUUGUGAUCAACAUUCAUAACCUUCUUCCUUGCUUCUUCUCGUUGGAUAGUUGCACAAACAUUGUUGAAGGUAGGCAGGUCUUGACUCAUCAAGAUGUGACUCCUUAGGUCCUCGUACUCAGAGCUCAAACUCCCUAACAGUUGAUAAAUUUUGUCUUCCUCAGCUCGUUUUAGGAGAAUGGUAGGAUCUGUGGUAUGAGGGAGAUAUACAUCCAACUCAUUCCACAUGGCUUUGAGGCUCCCAAGGUGUUGAACAAAUGCUUUCCCUUCUUGUUGAGCACUGGCAAUGUCCUUCUUUAAUUGGAAGACCCGUGCAUAGUUGUUUUGAUUUCCAUACAUAUCCUGCAAAGCUUUCCAAAGAUCAUGUGCGGAAUUGGAGUAGCUAAAAAUUUCAGCAACAUGUUUCUCCAUGGUGUUGAGCAGCAAGGACAUGACAAGUUGAUCUUUGCAGAGCCAUGCAUUGUAUGUAGAGGAAGAACUGUCUGGAGCUUCCACGCUUCCAUUUACAAACCCUAACUUCCCUUUGCCUCCGAGAGCUAGUGAAACAGCUCGGGACCAAGGAAGAUAAUUGAACUCGUUCAAGAGAACUGAACACAAACGUUGAUUGGUGUUAACCUCAACAUCUGAGAAGUUUGGAGAGAGAUUGUGCCGGGUUUCCUCAUCAUGGUUCACAGAACUUUCUUCAGUCAUGACUUAGACUUUGAAAGAAAGAAAAAAUUGCAGCAGCAAGAAUGGCAGAGACAGGUUACAAAUGAACCUGCUCUGAUACCAUGUAGAAUUUUUUAUGUGUAUUUCAUGAAGAAACAAUUACAAAUGAAACAUAUAUAUAGGAAAAGAAAGUAGACAUAAGCCUAACUUGCCUAACUUGCCUAACUUGCCUAAUUUCCUAACUUGCCUAACUUGCCUAAUUUACACAAAGAAUGUUGACUAGCCUAACUUCACUAGUCAUCCAACAUGUUUAUUUCAUGCAUACAUUUUAACACAAGAUAUGACUUGCAUGCAUUCUUCCAACAAAAUUACUAAAUUAUGUCGAUUGAGAAGCAAUUUAGACACUCAUAUUUGACCCUCUACACACCCCCUCUUAAUUUUAACUGGUUGAUUCUCCUUUGAUUGUUCAAUCUAACGCUAAAAAACAAGAGAGGUGUGUUGAAAUCAUUUCCCUUUUCUCAAAUUUAGAGCGGAUAACUGAAAGUUUGGAACUUGAUUAUUUCCUUUUAGGUAGUUCCAGGAGUUGGAUGUAGCAUGUGGGUCUUUGUUAGAUAUAUAAAACAAAACAAAAAGGAUGUGCAUUUAGGUUCCUGUUUUGAUUUAAGAUUUGGGGUUUGAAUGAAAUUGGUUUAAUUCUCAGGAAAGGUUAAGGCCCUUCUCAUCUGUAUUUGGGUCAAGAGAUUUAAGUGAGUCUAUUGAUGAGCAAGUUGGGGCAAAGAAAGGAGGGGAAGCAGACAAGAAUCAUGUUGCUGCUUUAGUGGCUCUCGAACUUUUCAACCAUACUGAUCUAGGAAAAGGACAUUCUGUAGGUCCAUCCACUGCUGGUGAAGUUGAAAGUUCUAAUGAAGAUGUAGUUCAAGAAUCGAGAAAAAGGAGGAACCCCUUUGAAGGUUUGCUUUAGUAUCUCAACUUUUCUUGGUGCUAGAUUAUCUUUGGAAUGAACUAAGCUUCUCUUGAUGAUCAUUUUUUGGUUUGUCUUCAGAGAGAAAUAUAAUUGAAAACUGAAUUGUUUCUUUAUGUUGCACUAAUCUUGGGGGAAAACUGAAAACCUUAUUAAAACAGCCUAACUCAACCAAUUCAAAAGACUAUUUCUUGUUCAGGACUGGGGCGAUGUUUGCUGGAUCUUAAUACGGUAUAAAAUUUGGUUGUUUAGUUCUUCAUAGAACCAGCAAGCACAACAAGCGAGUUUAGUAAGUUUUCCAUUUCUUCAGGUGCUAAUUCGUAUAGUGCAUCACAUUUCAAGAAUGCGAUUAAUGUUUAUGAAAUGUGAUUGUGCCCAUUACUUCUAAAAUAGGUACCAAUAGAAAAUGAUUGCAAUGGUAGUUUGCUUGGAGAAGUGUACACAUAGGGUGGGGAGUUGUAGAAUGAGGUGUAGCCAAGGUGUUAAGAGUAGUACUUCCUUGUCUAUAUGUACUACAGGAGAUGCAUAUGUAUGAGUUAUUGGUAUAGGUAUGCAUUGGACUUUCCACCAUACGUUGUGCACGUCUGACUCUCAGUUUUAUACAUUUCUUAAUUGCCUCAAAUUUUAGUCACAGGGAUAAAGUUAAAUUGUAGAAAUGAUCUAGUAGUUUCUCCGUGUUGGUAUCUGAUUGAGUAGCAAUCUGGCAGAACAUUCCAUGAAUGUUUUAUCAGUUGAUGAGUGCUUUUCUUUCUGCGUAGAAAUGUUUGUGGAUAUUUGCCAACAUGCGUUACUUACAUCAAGCAUGGUUCAGGGGAUUUCCAUAUCAUCAGCAUGUCUUUUCUUUUCGCAUUGGAAGUCUUAGAUUCUGGAAUCGACUUGGAUUUCAUAUCUUUAACAGACUUUCUGUCUCUCUUUCUGUAACUGUCAUACUUCUUGAGAAAGGAAAAAAAAAAUUAAGUGCCACGCAGUGGCCCAGAAAUUUGGAUUCAAGAGAGGGACAAGUUUGUGAGAUAAAGUCUCACAAAGUAGAAACAUGAAAGAUGAGCUGAGGGUCUCAAAUUGCAAGUAGAGUUGUAGUUAGCAUAUACACCACAAUAUGCAUUGCAUUGGGUAGUUUGACAUCUAGCAGGAAACGUCACUUUUGCAGGCAGUUAAAACAUUUGGUUACUCAAUCAACUUACGUAUUUGGUUAUAAAUCUGAUCCACAUCCCCUCCCCACACCUCGUCUUUGUCUUUGAAUUAGGUGGCGGUUACAAACCCAUUGUAAGAAAGAAUUUCACAGUGCUAGGAGGUGAUCCAACGCCAAAACCGAACCAGAAAAGGAGAAGGGACGAGAGCUUGAUCGUAGGCAAGGAGAAACCAGGGCCUGCUUAUAAUCACUGUGAGUAUGCUGCUACAUAAUUUGUGAGUCAGAAACAGUUACUUGUUCAUGUUUCUUGUGAAGCUCCACAAAUUAUUUCUUUCUUUUUGGUGGUGAUGACAGAUGCAAGCGGGCGUGGGUGGUGGGACUGCGACCGGGAGGGGAUUGACAACGAAGAAGUAGGACUGAAUGAGGUGUGGGAAGGAGUCGGAUCUACCACAUUGGGAGGAAUAGAGUGGCAUUGAUCUUGAGAUUCUUGACUUGAUGCUACGAAUAUUUACUUAUUUAGUAGAUGACCAGAUGUCCUUGUUGUAUAAUUUAAGAUAUAUCAUUAACAAUUGAAGAUGUCAUGUUUACCACUCUAGCUAAAGAUCAUGGUGGGAUGCUCUUAAAUUAUAAGUUUUUUUUUUUUUAACAAACGAUAUUACCUAUACUGAAGGGAUGAGAUGAGUUUAUCCUCACAAUAAGCUAGAAAUAAUAUGGUUUCAAUUUGUAUUUGACAAUAAUCGAAUAUAAGACCUGUCAUUUAUUAGUAAAUAAGAAUACCACUAGAUCAUAACUAAAGUUAAAAGUAAAAAAUUGACCAAAACAGUUGAAAAAUUCUGAGAAUUCUGAGAAUUCUGAGAAUUCCGUGAUCGUUAUCGUUCAUUGUAUAUCGAACAAUCAGUUUUUAUUAAGUAUUAUUUAUAUUUGAUUUUAUGUACUAUGAACGUUAACGGAAUCCCAUCAGAGGCGAGGAUCCUUUUUCAAAAAGUUGAAAAGUAAAAUGGUAUAUGUCAGCAUUCAAAACUGACCGUGGGUAAGGAAGUAAAAAUCUGUUUCCUUUCCGCUCCAGAGAAGGACCGACUAAAUUCCUAUAGAAAAAGGCGGCUUCGUCCUUGACUCCAAGCCUUGGGAGUAACCAACCAGAGCAAUCGAUUUUCGAGGGGUAGCCAUUAAUGGAGGUUGACGAAAUGGAUUCGCUCUUCGAGGGCAUGGUCUUGUUUACCCCUAACAAUUCUGGUAAUAACAGUCUACCCCAAUUGGAGGAUUUGGAGAAACACCAUCUCCCUGAUCACGGUGGUCAAGAUCCAGCCCUUCAAUCUCACCAAGAUGGAGAUGCUCCUCCACCUCCGCCACCUCCGCCAGAAUCAUCAUCCUCCGAGCCUCUUGACGAGAACCUCUUCUCCGACCUCACAGUCCAAUUCCAGACCCUCCCAAACCCAGAAGGUCCGCUAACACAGACACACGACGACCUUGUUCAGAAUCAAACCCCCGCAUCGAAACCAACACCGCCUGCGACAACAUCCAGACAGAACUCCUCCACUUCCAGACGGAAAAAGCGAGCCGCUGGCCUCCGCAUCGGAUACGCCCGCGAUUCCUAUUCCAGUUCCAGGGCCGAUGAUCCCGAUCUCGACGACGACUCCCUCCCCUACACCUCCACCUCCAUCUCCACCAGCCCCGUGGUCCCUACUUCCACUCCAUCUUCUGACUCCACUCCCCCUCCUCCCCCGCCUCCGCCUGUAUCCUUAUCAGUAUCGGAACCAGAACCAGUACCAGUAGAAGUGGUCGUAAAUGACAAAGAAGCCCCUCCCGAGCUCCGGUUGGAUCAGAGCAAGGCUCUGAUCACCGACAAGCUCAGUCACGCUCGCCAAUUGGCUGCCUCCAUCUCCGCCGCAAGGAAGGAAUCCAUUGCCAAGAGAAGGGCAGCAGCGGACCAUCUCAAUUUGGCGUCUGUCAAUGAAGCCAAUCUUGAGAAACAGCUGGAAGAGGCUUGCGAGGCUGAGGAUUUCGACACUGCACAAAGGCUCAGUGACAGCCUUGCAGCUGCUCAGAGCCAGAAGCAAGUUCUGUUAGCCGCCCUCAGAGAUGCCGAGGCCGAAUGUGAUGCUGUGGACACCAAAAUGCAUCAAGUUCUCCAAUCUCAAAUCACCGCCGAGGAAGAAUGUGCUUCUCUGCUUCAACGCUUUGCCACCGUAUGUACCUCCUCCUCCACCUUUUGAUUAUUUGCUUGCAGAAAUUAAUUGUUUUUAAUAGCAUAGACUACAAACAAAAUGGAGAUAAUGGAAUGAAUGGCAAUUGUGAAAGUUAUGACAUUACAAUGAUGACAUGUAGUAAUGAGUAAUGUGAUGAUUGUUUGGUUCGAUAUCACAGGAUGCCUCGAAUGAUGCAGAUUUGGUCUUACAAACAGCAGAAGCCCACUCUUCAAAAGAAACAGAAGAAUGGCUUUCAUCGACUGAAGCCUUGCAUGCCAAGAAAAUGGAACUGGAGAUUGAAUCCCAUAUCAUUGAUGAUGCUGGGCUUGUCUUGGACUCUUCCAUUGACACUUUGGUGGAGGAUGACAAGAGGGAGAAAGAAUGUCUCUGUAAGAAAAAGGACGUUCUCAUGGACGAACUGGAGAAGCUACUUGCUUUGGUGAAACUGAAGGAACAAGAGAUUGCACAAAAUGAUCGUGACAUCAAACAAGUUGAGGAAAGGAUUGAUCUUGCUCUUUCUGGCUUCCAGGACAUGCAAUCCAGCAUUCAGGCCAAGUCCAGCAACUUGCAAGCGGCCCUCUCUAGGAUAAAUGUAGAGAGUGAGGCUCUGUCAACAAAAAAGACGGAAAUUGAUGCCUUCCUUACUCAGGAACAAGAGAGGGAAGCAAAGUUGAGGGAACUGGCCAGGGCUUCCACAGAGGAAGCAGAGGCAUACCAACAAGUUGCUGCUCUUAGAAAAACUCUCAUGUCCUCUAUUUUGAAGUCCAGGGAAGAUAAUAUCACGCUUGCAAAGACUGAGGAAGAGCUCUCCAAGGAUGUUCAAAUGCUCCAACAGGAUGUUUCUGCCUCAAGAGCUUCACUGCAGGAACUGUCUUCGAAAAAGUCGAGCAUUCAGCAAGAUAUAGCAUCCUCUAAGCAGAAAAUGAUUUUCAUAGACAAAAGAAUUCCAGAGCUGGAAGCAGAAAAGAAAGUCGCUGCAACUGCAAGAAAUUUUAAGGAAGCAGCACGACUUGCUGCCGAGGCUAAGUCGUUGAAUGUUGAAAAGGAAGGGAUACAGAAUGACAUGGAAAAAGCCAUCUUAGAGCUUGAGAAACUCGAGCAAGAGAUAAAAGAGACUGUUAACAGAUUGCAGGAGACAGAGGGGCAUAUUCUCUCCAAGGAAAAAGAGCUAGCUACGGCUAGGUUUCAGAGGUUGCUUCUGAUAUCUGGUAUUGCCAAAGCAGAAAGAGAAGCUGCUUUGGAGUUGGGUAACCUUGAAGAAGCUAACCUUCUGCUUGGGGAGGCCGAAGCAGCAGACUCUGAAGCAAAUAAGCUUCAACCGUUAUACGAUCUCAAGGUGGAAGAGGUUGAAAGAUUACCAAAGCAGUUCAUCUCCGUGGAGCUUAUAUCUAAUCUUGGGAGGAAGCAGUUAGAAGAAUUAGCAGCAUCGGUGCAACCUUCUCAGGGGUGACAACUUGCAGAGCUAGAGUCGAGGAUUGAUUUGUUAUUGAUCUCUGUCGAGAUUGGAAAUCAUAAGUCUACAAAGAGUUUGAUAUGAAAAGCUGGAACAAGUAAAAAAAAAAGUAAUCCUACUUCAUGUACUAUUACUAGAAGAGGUAAUUUAGAAUUGGAAAUUGAAAUUUUCAUUUUUCUUUUUCCGAAUUGGAUGUGUUUUGAGUGUUUUAUUUGUGGGUUUCUCAAAUUAUGAAUCCCCACCAAGCUUUUUUCGGUAACUUUUGUAGAGUUUCUAUAUUCCCUGUUUUUUCUUUCUAUAAUUGUGAUGUGGUUCUGGAUUUGUUUCUUUUCCUUCAUUUUAUGUUGCUUGUAAACUGUUGGGAGCCCUUACCCUUUUUUGAUAGAUAAAUGGAGAGGCAUUUUGAUGUUCUUUUUUAUUUAUUCGUCGAUCGCAGACAAUGAUCAAAAUAUGGUAUCUCGUAAUUUGAUGACUAUUUGUGAUAACUUCUUCUGGUGUUCUUCUGAGAUUAUCAUUUCUCCAUCCAUCUGUUUUCUCUCCAUAGAUAUUGUGAUAUCCUCAGUCGAAUUUUAAUGUUAUUGGGGUUGUGUAUUUUAGCCUCUAAAGUACGGUUGCUCUGGGCACUCUCACCUGCUACUGCCAGGAUUGUGUUGAAUUAAUACCAAAAUUUUGACCCGGUCUUAAUAGUAGGAAAAGUAUUUUUCCAUUGAUAAAAUGAAUAACAUUACACUUUGGGUAUUUAUACAAAAGCUGUCACAGCUAACAGAAAAUAUACCUCCAAAACUAACUAAGAUUCCUUAACUUUUAAGUAUUAUCUCUUGUAGGUGUAAUUACAUUUUUAUCCUUGGUACUUAAUACAGAAGUCAUUGAAAUCAAUUACAACGACUUCAUAUUUGCACUUUGACUCCUCUCUCUCUCUCUCUCUCUCUCCAUAUUUGCAGGAGACUCGAGUCUGGAGUCAACAUUAUUCAGAACAUUGACAUAUUUUAAGAAGCUCCUUUGGUCCGUUAAUAGUUCAGAGGAUCUUGCAUCAAAACUAAGACUGAGCUAUGGAGAACUCCAAAGAGAUGGUUGUGAGGUUGGUUUAUAUAAUUCCUUGUUUUCUUAUGUCGAACAAUAGGACUUGGAAGCUAUUGGUCCAACGGUAUUUCUCUUCCCAAUGUUGUAAGAAGUUCGAGUCUACCAUCUUAGUCUGGUGGAACCUCUACCAACUUGGAAGCCCCACUAUACCGUAUAUUAUUUCAAUGACCGUUUUCAUGUUUCUUCUUUCUGACGGCUGCAAUGUUUAUGUUAUUUCCCUUGUGUCAUUUUCAGUAUUGCUGAACACUGUACAGCGGAGGCCAAGAUGAGGAAACUGUUCCUUGUGAUAUGGAAGAGGAUAUUUAUAAUAUCAUGCGUCUUUGCUCUUUUCCUAGAUCCUUUAUUCUUGUACAUUCCUAUCAUCAAUGAGGAUAUCAAGUGUCUCAUGUUGGACAAGAAGUUGAAGAAUACAGCUCUUGUUUUGAGAUCAUUCACAGAUCUCUUUUACAUAGCGAACGUUGUCAUUCAAAUUUAUUUUGAACCUAAAGCUCGGCCAUUUAGGGUGAUGGGGAAGUCCUAUUGCAGUACGAUAGUUUUGACCAAAGGAGCGACAUUAGUUGAGGACGCUCUGGAUUUGGCCAAGUGGAUUUGGCGAUCACACAUCCUAAUCGACAUUCUAGCCCUUCUUCCCAUUCCACAGGUACAAUGAGACGCCUUUGCUUUUCUAACCUCUCUGUCUGUUAACGUGUAAGGAGGAUUGGAUUCUCACAUGUUAGGAUGUCAAUUUUACUAUAAAUGCAUAAGAUAUUUGCUUUUAUAGGCGUAUAGAACUGUAUAUUACUGCUAGACCAGGAUUCAGCUGAUUACAUGUGAUAUAUUUCUUUUUAGGAGAGGUCAAUACCCUAAUUGAUUCAUCUCUUCACAGUGUUGGAAGAGGUUCCAAGUUUGAAUCCCCAACCCCCUCUGUCAAGUGAUAACAAAAAACAUUAUUUACACAAUGACGAGAUAUAUAACUCUUUGCUUAAGCCUUUGUUUUGUGUGUAGGUACUAAUUUUCAUUUUCUUCACAAAUAUGAGAGGCUUCAGGUCAAGGAUAGUUCUAAACUCUCUUGUUCUAUUUCAAUAUGUGCUGCGGGUUCUUCGCAUCUACUUAUCGUGUAAACAGCUUGAGAAUCAUGUUCAGUCUGUCUUCAAAUUCUUUACGUUCAUCCUUGCAAGUCAUGUAAGUUCCAAUCUCAUCUUUAUUUGCUUAAUGUUGUUACUCUAUUAAAACAUUUGUCCUGCAAGUCAUCCAUGAAUGAUAAACAUACAUGUUGAAAAAUGAAGUUGCUCGUAGUUUGCAUCAAUGAAUUGUAUUUCAGAUUUAAUGAUGUAUAUACAUUAAUCGCAAGUGUUCGAUGAGGCAAUGCCACCUAUAUCUGUCUAUUUAACGGGUUCAGAUUGCAUUAUCAUGAGCAAUGAGUCACUGCCUAACUGUGACAAUCUAAUGUUGCGUGGUAUGGUGCUCUCAGAUCUUCCAAAAUUUAACAGCCUUGUUUUCUUUUUACUUCUUUGGCUUUCAAAAUCUGAUUACAUUCUUCAUUAAUACGUUGUGAAGCUUUUAUUUCGUGAAAACUUAAUAAACGUACUUUCGUCCCCUUCAAACCAGUUACAUUAAUUCAGAAUUUUCUCUAAAUCCAAUCAUUAUCAUUAACUAAUUUAUUGGUCCUUUAUAGGUAUUUGGUGCCCUUUGGUACUUUUUCUCCAUUCAACGAGUAACAGAUUGCUGGCAAUUUGCAUGUCGGAGUACAAAUGGGUGUGAAGCUAGUUCUUUUGACUGCAACGAUCAUCCGUUUAGAAAUAUCACACUUCUAAAUAGUUUAUGUCCCAUAAAUCCACCUAAUGCAACACUCUUUGAUUUUGGUAUAUUUCUUGAUGCCCUUCAAUCUGAUAUGUUGAGAUCAAGCGAUUUUCCACAAAAGUUCUUGCACUGUUUCUGGUGGGGUCUACGAAAUCUUAGGUAUGUAAUUGCAUAUAGAAGGCUCAACUAUUUGAUCUUGCAUAUUGAACUAUUGGGUGGGGGUGAACAAUUUCACAAUCAACUUUGCUGUUGUAGUAUUCUGCAUUUGUUCAUUCAUGCUAAAAGGAUUAUAUACAACUGUCGUUCUCUCGAUGUUUGUCAGAAUUUUAUUUCUUCAUAUAGAGAUGGGAUCUUAACUAAUGCUUUUGACAUAAAGAAACGGCUGUAGAUCGAGUUUCUUAUUCGAGCUCAUAAUUGAGAUAAUGCGACUUCAUUUCAUCUUUGCAGUUCUUUUGGCCAAAAUCUCCAGACUAGUACCUAUGCAUGGGAAGACCUCUUUGCAAUUUUCAUCUCAAUAAUUGGCAUGCUUCUCUUCUUAAUAUAUCUCAAUGGAAUUAUGCAGGUUGGUUUUUAGUCCGUCUCCAUAAAACAAGAAUCUUGAAUGGUUGCUACGCAUGUUCACUGCUUUUUUUGUUACGAAAACAAUAUUAACUUGCUAAUCAGUACUGAAUCUACUCAAUCGGGUGACUGUAAAGCUUCUCCGUUGUUCAUCAUUACCUAAAGUUUUGUCAUGCAUUCUCAGAAUUUAAUGAAUUGAUCGAUCACCUAGCUACUUGUUCUUGUAUACAGACAUAUAUGCUGUUGUCAACUGAAAGAUCAAAGGAGCAAAGGAAGUUGAUGAAAAUGGAGAGGAAGAGAGGCCCAGCGAUAGCAUCAUGGUUACAUAACAACGACAUCCCGUUAAACAUGAAUAAGAUGAUCAUGUCAUGUGCACUACGGGAACUUGAUGCGAACAAGGAUGUCAAUGUCGAGAACAUCCUCUCUGUUGGUCUUCCCUUAGAAUGUCUCAAACUCAUCAAACGCCAUCUCUGCUUGGCUACGCUGAAAAGGGUAAGUUUUUCUUUCCAUCAAGAAAGAUUCUCCCCAAAAAAGUUCUGAUCAUAUCCAUCGUAGUAUAUUGAAUUUUUCUACUCUGGUUAACCACACAUUUUAAAACGCAGAUAUGCAGUCGAUAUUAUUGAUAGUUUAUAUACUUUGACCUUACAGUUAUGGAUAUAAUGUACAUUAAUGAUGCCUUGUUAGAUUUAUUAUCUAUGUUUAUUUUUCUUGGGGAAUAAUGUAUCUAAUUCUAACCUUAGGUGCCAGUGCUUCAAGCCAUGGAUGACGAAGUGUUGAGAAAAGUUUGUGACGGUUAUCUAAAGCCAAUGAUCUAUAACGAGAACAAGUACAUUAUUCGGGAGAUGGAACCAAUUGAGAAGAUGCUCUUCAUCACGCAAGGCACGGUGCGCACCUACAACACUAGCAACAGUGGUGGAGGUGGUUUCUCAAGGACUAGCUGCCUUGAGAGAGGUGAUUUUCACGGGGAAGAACUUCUAAAUUGGGCAUUGUAUAACGUUAAUGUUGCCUCCUCUUCCGAUGACCUGCCCAUCUCCACUAGAAUUGUUAAGUGCAGCACAAAAGUUGAAGGGUUUACCCUCAUGGCCAACGACUUGAGAAGUGUCGUCUCUGAAUUUUGGACCAAUGACAUCGACAACCCUCUCUCUGUGUCGGGCACCCGCUAGGUUGCGAAAUCAAUAUGCUAAGACUUGUGGCAUAUUGAUUUCGUAGUACACCCCGUCUUGCACUGAAUACUGUCUUCCCAGGUGCAUCCACAAUGUUUAGAAAUUUUUCAAUAUGAUCUGAACAUGAGAUGACAUACUAAUUUACAAAUUAUGUGAUACAUGUAUCAUCUGUAUUCUCGUCAUCAUAAAAAAAUUUCUCCACAAUGUUGGAGGUAGAUUCGGAUAAAAUUCUAAGAUACAAAUUUACUGCCACCAUUACAUCUCGGGCCGUUAAUAAAGCUGUAUGAAAAAGGUUUGGUACAUUAACUUGUUUUCGUUUGUAAAUUUCAUAGUAACGGUAAACCCGUUUCAUACGAUCUGUUUGUCAAUCCUUCCGUUAAAUACUGACAUGAAACUUCCUUCGCCUUCGUCGACCCCGAUCCUCCCCAGUUACCCCUAAACCUUCCCCGUCAAUCACUUCAUCCUCGUCUUCCUCCUUUCCGUCGUGCUCAUCGCCGGCCUCUUGCUCGUACAUUUUGUCAUCCUCAUCGCCGGCGCGUGGAUGGAGCAAGCAAGAAACAGCCGAGAAAUUCGAAGCCUUUCCCGCCAUUUUCUCCCCUUUUUUCUUUGCCUUCAGUACUUCUCAGCCUCUAAGAAAAACAAGAUCAGAUAUUCAGACCAGUGAUUUGGGUGAGGGGUGGGUUCGAAUCGUACGGACGACGACGACGGGGAAGGAGAGUGGGCGUACAUGGAGAGGGUGAUGUUGGAUUAUGUGGCCAAGUGGCCAUAUACUUUAGAUUAAACAAACCAAAGGUGGACAACACCUUUCCUUGUUUUGGGGAGGAAAAUAGGGGAAAGGUUUUUUGUCUUGGUCCAUGGGAAGUCACGGUUGAGGUUUUGAAUAAUAAGUUUUGGUUGUAAUGAGAAGUAAGAGUGGGAUAGAAGAGAAGAAAAUAGAGUGCAGAAAAUUGAGAGAGCCGAAGAGAAGAGAGGGAGAGAAAGAAGGUACUGCUACAGUACCAUUUUCAGAGAAGGGGUUGUUGUUCUUUUCAUUGGAUAAUUCUCACUCCAUCAAAGUGUUAUUGUUGUAAUAGCUUUGAGCUUUGUAUAGAGAAGAAAUUAAUCACUAUAUUUCUUUCUCUAUUUGUUUCUUUAGAGUGUGAGUUAUUGGGUUAUUUGGGUUGUGAGAUUGCCAACACUUUGUAAACUCCCAUUUGGUUGAUAGUGGAUUCUUGGGUGAGCUCCUACUGCUCCGAGGACGUACUCCAGUUACACUGACUGUUGAGGAACCUCGUUAAAAUAUUGGUGUCUUUUAAUAUUUUUGUUCUUGCAUUUUAUUUGAUAUAUUUCCUGUGGGUUAGCUUGAGUUGGUUCCACAAGGGUUUGGUGCUAUCCUAGCACAACAAUUGGUAUCAGAGCACUGGUUGCUCUUGGGUACUGUCUAGUUGCCAAAGAUGUCAGACGGGCAAGAUGAAAAUCCUUUUGGAAGCAGCUCCGGGUUUGCAAGAACUACGGUGCAAAAUGCAAAGUUCGAAGUGGAAAAGUUUGAUGGCACAAACAACUUCGGGAUGUGGCAAUGUGAGGUCAAAGAUGUGUUGGCUCAACAAGAUCUACUUGCCGCGUUGGGAGAGAAGCCGGAAACUAUGUCGAAGCCGGAAUGGGAAAAAUUAAAUUUGUGGGCUUGCUCUUCAAUUCGGUUGUGCCUUGUAAAAACUCAGAAGUAUUUUGUGAUGCGGGAGACGGUAGCAAGUGUGUUGUGGCAAAAAUUGGAAGACAAGUAUAUGACAAAGAGUGCAGAGAACCGACUACACUUGAAGAAAAAGCUCUACCGCUUCCAAUACAAAGAAGGUACAAAAAUGAUUAGACACCUUGAUGCUUUUAAUAAGUUGAUUGCCGACUUGUUAAAUUUAGAUGAGGAUAUUAAGGAUGAAGAUAAGGCCUUAAUAUUGUUGAAUUCCUUGCCGGACUCUUAUGAGCAUUUUGUUACAACUAUUAUGCAUGGUAAAGAAACUGUGAAAUUUGAAGAUGUGUCAAAUGCCUUGAUGAAUUAUGAAAUGAGGCAUAGAGAUAAAAAUCAUGAUAGUACCUCUGAAGCUUUAUUUGUUAGAGGUAGAUCAUCGGAGAGGAGGUCAUCUUCUAGCAGGAAAAAAUCACAGUCUCGACCUAGGGGAAACUCUAAAGGUAGAAAACCUUUGGAAAGGGAUGAAUGUGCCUUUUGUCAUAAUAAGGGCCAUUGGAAGAAAGAUUGUCCAAAAUUGAAGACCAAAGGCAAAGAAAGUUCUGAAGCUAAUGUUGCUGAGGUUGAAACAGAUUUUUCUGAUUUUGCUUUAACCACUUCCUCAUCAUUUGAUUGUGCUACUAAGUGGGUGUUGGAUACGGGUUGUACUCAUCAUAUGACUCCUCACAAGGAUUGGUUUUCAAGCUUGAAAGAGUUUGAUGGUGGCGUUGUGUUCAUGGGAGAUGACAAUCCUUGCACAACAAAAGGGAUUGGUACAGUUCGUUUGAAGUUGCAUGAUGGCAUGGUUAAAGAGUUGACAGGUGUUCGGUAUGUACCGAAUUUGAAGAAAAAUCUUAUUUCUUUGGGUACUUUGGAAUCUAAGGGUUUCAGGUUUCAUUCAGAUGGACAGACAUUGAAAGUUACUUAUGGUGCACUUGUUGUGAUGAAAGCUCCUAGAUGUGGCCAUUUGUAUUUAUUGCAGGGAAGCACUGUGACAGGUGAAGCAUCUGUAGUAUCUGAAAAUAUGGGCACAUCUGAUUCAGAUACUACUAAAUUGUGGCAUAUGAGAUUAGGCCAUGCCGGUGAGAAAGCUCUACAAGGGCUUGUGAAACAAGGUCUUCUAAAAGGUGCCACGACUUGUAAGCUUGAUUUCUGCGAGCAUUGUGUCUUGGGGAAGCAAACUAGAGUGAAAUUUGGUACUGCUGUACAUCAGACGAAGGGCAUUCUUGAUUAUGUGCAUUCGGAUGUUUGGGGUCCUACAAAGACUCCUUCUUUGAGUGGUAGACAUUGGUUCGUGACCUUUGUUGAUGAUUAUUCAAGAAGGUCUUGGGUCUACACUAUGAAGCAUAAGAGUGAGGUGUUAAGCAUUUUCUUGGGUUGGAAGAAAAUGAUUGAGAACCAGACUGGGAGAAAGAUUAAGAUUUUGAGAUCGGAUAAUGGUGGUGAAUACACAUCCAAUCAUUUCUUUAAAGUUUGCAAAGAGGAAGGAAUUGUGAGACAUUUCAGUGUUCGGGGAACUCCACAACAAAAUGGAGUUGCAGAAAGAUUGAAUCGAACCUUGCUUGAGAAGGUUAGAUGUAUGUUGUCUCAGUCGGGUUUAAGCAAGUCAUUUUGGGCAGAGGCAGUUAAUUAUGCAUGUCACAUCAUCAACCGGUUACCCUCAGCUGCUAUUCAGGGUAAGACACCAAUGGAGGUAUGGACUGGAAAACCUUCUUCUGAUUAUGAUCAUAUUCGUAUUUUUGGUUCACCUGCUUAUUUUCAUGUAACUGAAAAUAAACUUGAUCCUAGAGCCAAAAAGGCUAUCUUUCUUGGUUUUAGUAGUGGUGUCAAAGGUUACAGGUUGUGGUGUCCAGAGAUGAAGAAACUGGUAAUUAGUAGAGAUGUGACAUUUGACGAAGAAAGUAUGUACAAAGUCUCUGAGAAGAAUGUGAAAGAUGUCCAACAGGUGGAGCUUGAGAAAGUUGCUUCUGGUACUUCAAAUCCUAUUUCCGCUGAUGUCGAAGCCACUACAAGUGAAGAAGUUGGAGACCAUGAGGAUGUUGAAGAAGUUGAACUUGAAGAUUCUAUUCAAGUUGAAGAGCAAGUUUCACCUCAAGAGUCUAUUGCCAAGAACAGAGGAAUGAGACAAAUUACUAAGCCAGCUCGGUAUAGUGAUUAUGUUGCUUUUGCUCUUCCUAUUAUCACUGAAGAGAUUCCAUCCAAUUUUGAGGAAGCUAUUGAGAGUGAGGAGAAUAAUAGGUGGUGCAAUGCCAUGGGUGAUGAGAUGAAUUCUCUCUUGAAGAACAAGACUUGGGAGUUAGCUAAAUUGCCUAAGGGCAAGAAAGCUAUUGGUUGCAAAUGGGUGUAUGCCAAGAAGGAAGAUGCUGAUGAGAAAAGCAAUGUGAGAUUUAAAGCAAGAUUAGUUGCUAAAGGGUAUGCACAAAAGGAGGGGGCAUUGACUACAAUGAAAUUUUUUUCUCCGGUUGUGAAGCACUCCUCAAUUCGCAUUAUGUUAGCUCUUGUUGCACAGUAUGAUCUUGAGCUUGUGCAACUUGAUGUAAAAACGGCUUUCCUACAUGGUGAUUUGAAUGAAGAGAUUUAUAUGUGUCAACCAGAUGGGUAUAUAGUGAAAGGGAAGGAGAAUUUGUUUUGCAAAUUGAAGAAAUCACUUUAUGGCUUGAAGCAAUCUCCAAGGCAAUGGUAUUUGAGGUUUGAUAAAUUUAUGAGAGGCCAAAAUUAUUCUAGAAGUCAAUAUGAUCAUUGUGUGUACUUCAAGAAGUUGCAAGAUGGGUCUUUCAUUUAUUUAUUGAUAUAUGUUGAUGAUAUGUUGAUUGCCUCAAAGAAUGUCGAAGAGAUUGAGAAAUUGAAGAAGCAAAUGAAGAAUGAGUUUGAGAUGAAGGAUCUUGGUGAAGCGAAGAAGAUCCUUGGCAUGGAGAUCACUAGAGAUAGAGCAAAGGGUUUCGUCAGUUUGAAUCAAAAACAAUACCUUGAGAAGUUGAUUCGGAAGUUUGGAGUUCAUGAUUCAACCAAACCCGGUUAGUACCCCUUUGGCUCCUCAUUUUAAAUUGAGUUCUCUACAAUGUCCUAAAACUGAUAAAGAGAAACUGCAAAUGAAAAAUAUACCAUAUGCAAAUUUGGUUGGUAGUUUGAUGUAUGCAAUGGUAUGCUCUAGACCGGAUAUUGCUCAUGCAGUUGGCAUGGUGAGUCGAUAUAUGCAUAAUCCAGGUAAAGAGCAUUGGCAAGCAGCCAAGUGGAUAUUGAGGUAUCUCCAUGGUACUCGAGAUGUUGGUUUAUGCUUUGAGAGGGAUGACUCUGGUAUUGGUCAUUUUACAGUUGGUUAUGUUGAUUCAGAUUAUGCAGGUGAUCUGGAUGGAAGGAAGUCUACUACAGGCUAUGUGUUUACUAUGGCUAAAGGGCCAGUUUGUUGGAGGUCCAUUUUGCAGUCGUCUGUUGCCUUGUCUACUACAGAGGCUGAAUAUAUGGCAGUUGCUGAAGCUAUAAAGGAGGCCAUUUGGAUACAUGGGCUUAUUAGAGAUUUGGGGGUUGAUCAGAAGCAGGUGGAGGUACAUUGUGAUAGUCAGAGUGCCAUUUAUUUGGCUAAGUAUCAGGUUCAUCAUGCGAGGACCAAGCACAUAGAUGUGCGUUAUCACUUUGUUCGUGAAAUUGUUGGUGAAGGGGAAAUCAUUCUCCAGAAGAUUCCAACUAAAGACAACCCCGCUGAUAUGUUGACUAAGGUUGUUGGUGUAGCCUAGUUUGUUCACUGUUUUGAACUUGGCUCACAUUUUGCCUAUAUAAAGAAGGCGUUGAGUAGUAGGAGUUUUGGAGCAUUUGGCUCAGCAUGAGUUGUUCUCUUGCUAGUGUUUGGGAGUGAUGUUGUGUGCUAAUUGUGUUGGUUGGCUUAUCAUGGCGUUUUCGGAACUUGGCCAAGGUGGAGAUUGUUGGAUUAUGUGGCCAAGUGGCCAUAUACUUUAGAUUAAACAAACCAAAGGUGGACAACACCUUUCCUUGUUUUGGGGAGGAAAAUAGGGAAAAGGUUUUUUUGUCUUGGUCCAUGGGAAGUCACGGUUGAGGUUUUGAAUAAUAAGUUUUGGUUGUAAUGAGAAAGUAAGAGUGGGAUAGAAGAGAAGAAAAUAGAGUGCAGAAAAUUGAGAGAGCCGAAGAGAAGAGAGGGAGAGAAAGAAGGUACUGCUACAGUACCAUUUUCAGAGAAGGGGUUGUUGUUCUUUUCAUUGGAUAAUUCUCACUCCAUCAAAGUGUUAUUGUUGUAAUAGCUUUGAGCUUUGUAUAGAGAAGAAAUUAAUCACUAUAUUUCUUUCUCUAUUUGUUUCUUUAGAGUGUGAGUUAUUGGGUUAUUUGGGUUGUGAGAUUGCCAACACUUUGUAAACUCCCAUUUGGUUGAUAGUGGAUUCUUGGGUGAGCUCCUACUGCUCCGAGGACGUACUCCAGUUACACUGACUGUUGAGGAACCUCGUUAAAAUAUUGGUGUCUUUAAUAUUUUGUUCUUGCAUUUUAUUUGAUAUAUUUCCUGUGGGUUAGCUUGAGUUGGUUCCACAAGGGUUUGGUGCUAUCCUAGCACAACAGGUGAUGGGUAGUGGUGAGCGGGAAGGGGAGGAGCGCGGAGGUGGAGAUGGAGGAAGAGAGAGCGGGAGUUGCAGAGACGUGAGGGGGAAGGAAGGUUAUCUGGGUGUGGGUUUUUUUUUUUUUUUUUAAUUUAAAUUUUUAAUAUUUAAUUAAUUUGUUAAUUUAGUUGGAAUUGAAAUUGGGUCUGUAUUAGUCACGUCAGUAUUUAACAGAAGAAUUGAUAAAAAGUAUAACGUUGCAAUAAAUUUGUAGAUAAGUUAUAAAAUUAAAAUAUUUUAUAGAUGAUGUAUGAAACUGUGGUUAAUUCAAUAAUUAAGGUAGUUUUAUGUAAUUUUUUUUUUUAACAAAUAAUAUUACCUACAUUAAAAAAAUAAGUAGAAAGUUAAAAUUUACAAUGGACCAUCCAAUAUAGUCUCGUUCAAAUGAACCAAAUAUAAAAUAUCUUAUUUAUAUAAGUAAAAAAAAUAUCACUAUUACGUGACCGAAUGAUAAUUAUUAUUAACUCAAUUAUUUGGCAGGGUCGUUAAGCUGUGACUGACUGUACUCCCAUGCAAAUUACGGGUCCAAUCAGCAGGAGAAGGACUACUAAUCCACCGACCCACCGCCAUCAAUAUUUUAUUUUUGGUAUGGACCCCUCAUCCGACUUAUUUGAAAAAAAUAUUCGACCAGAAGCAAACAAUUGUCAUGUUAAAAAAUUAAACAUGCGAGAUAUAGAUAAAAUACAGAAGAAUAUAUGAAUGGAUCAGGUUGCACCAGCAGGCAACCGCCUGAUAAAAAAAAUAACCAAAAGCAAUCAACAUGCCACUAAAUAAAACAAGCACAUCAAUCAAUUCUGUUAAAUGUUAAUCAUAAUUUAGGCGUAAUAGAUUUUUCAAAUGAAAAACCAAGAUAUAUGGAUUAUGUGCAUUUCCACAUACUACAAACGUGAAUUUGUGACUUAGAAUAAAUGUUUCUCAAAAGGGAAUAGUAAUCUAUUCAAUCCUAAUUUAUUCCUAUGAAACGUUUAAGAACAAGAAGAUUAAAUCGGAUAUAUCAACAAAUUUCCGCGUAGUCCAAAGAAAAAAAGAUCCAAUUUCAUCUCUAUCGCUACAUAUAUGCCACUAACUGUGCAAUAUGUGUACCAAUCAAUUUUAAGUGCAAUAUGUCCCACACUACGACAAUCCGACUUUACUUUUAUUUUUCUGCGUUUAUUUUUUCAAUUUUAACCACCAUACUUUUCUACGCAUUUAGAAUUUUAGAGUUGUUGUCACUUCUACAACAAUUAUAUUCCAUUUUAUUUUUCAAGUGUCAAGCAAACAGCUUGUAUUCUUUCUACUGCCAAAGAAACAUAUUUACUUCACCCCCAAUACCUUACAAAUUUGCAGCAAAUCAUGCAAAUUGAUCACUUAUUUUUCUAGGUUAUAAAAGUGUGACUUGUAUAUUCUCUCUGAUCAUAAUAUGUUUGCCUUCAAUGCUCAAAACAAUCAGUGUCAUAUUUCUUUUCUAUUAUGAUUUUUUCACUCUCCUUAUCAUUAACCUUAGUAGUCUUUUAUAAAGAAGUUAAAUACACAAUUUUAUAUUGGGGUGUGAUAUCCACACAUCCCAUUUUACUUCUCACACACCUUUUUAAUUUUCGGCCGUCGGAUCGGAUGAAUUGAAGAAGAUCAACGGACAAAAAUCAUCCAGGGGUGUGUGAGAAGUAAAAUGGGGUGUGUGGAUAGCACACCCCUUUUAUAUUAUAUAUACAUGUGUCAUCCACGUCAGUUAACAACGUGUUGAAUAAUGCAUUUCAUAUCUGAAACUCGAUACAAUAAAUACCUAAUUGCAUCGAGAUGAUCUGUUAUAAAACUCAAAAUAUGCAAAGCUGUGUAAAUUAUUAAGUUAACCAAUACAAGCGUUGUAGACUUGACUCUAAAAAUCUUGAUACAAAGCAAGCAAAAGAUAAUUGACAAUAAAAGUAAAAGGUGAUGUUGGGUUGUUCCUUGAUUAUGGCCCUCUAGAAGACUGGUACCAUGAUGCUGGUAGUUCGACAUUGACUGACUAAAAUGCCAGUUACCCAUUUGAUCAGACCAUUCUUGGUGAGUCCUAGCACACCUUCCAUGACUCUUUUACGCUCUAAUAGAAUAUGCACCUCCUUAUUUUUGGGAUCAGGAUCCUCUCCUGAGUUAAGGGUAAAGAUUCUAGUAUAUCAGGCCGUUUAAAUUUUAUCAAACGGUUAUAAUUAUUAUAAUAUUUAGAAAAUCCCUUUAUUUGUAGCCGUUGGAUAAAAUUUGAACGGUCCGAUGAACUUACUCAGAAAGGUCCUCAUCAUUAGCUUAGGAGAGGAGAUGAGAGGAUCCUGAUCCUUAUUUUUUGCCAAGACAAAGUCCACCUUGUAUUAUUUUAUUAUUAUUGUUCUCGUUGUUGUUUGUUCCACUUGUACUUUUAAAAAAUGACAUUAAUGUUUUCUUCGGUAGGAAAAUUUCGCAAGUUCAUUAAGUAGAGAUAAAACGUACGAGAAAAUAGGACAACUUUAAUAGAAAAACAAGUCGAAACUUUCAAUUUGAGUGCAAAAAAGCGAUCACCAUACUUUUACUAUAUAAUUAUGAGAGCUAUAUUCCAAUAACAAAUUUGAGAUUGAUAGCUACUUAUUAGUAGAGAUGUCAAGUGUUUUAGAGCUCGUUUGGAUAUUAAAAUAAUUAAAAACGUGUUUGGUGAAAAUGUUUAGACUCAAUCUUUAGUAAACGUGCAAGUAAAUUUUGUAAAAGCACUUAAAGUGCUUCCUGGAAAAAGCACAUAGCUGGUGCUUCUUACAGAAAACAUUUCAAUUGCUUUUGGAACCUAAAAAUAUUUUAUACGCUUUCAGUCAUUUUAAAAGCAGAUUUACACAAAUGCUUAUGACUGUUUCUAUUCUAAUUUAACAAAAACAAAAAGAAAAAGAAAAAGUUCUAUGGUGGGCGGAUUAUGAAAAUCUGAAUCAGAAUAGCAACAACAAAUAAAUAAAUAAAAAAUGAUUUCUUUUCUUUUACUUGCACUUUCCAGUAUUUCUUCGUUGUUGGUUUUCAAUUGCUGUAAAUUUCGGGUAGCAAAUUGGAAUAAAAGCUACGAAAGCUUUCGACUUUUCACGCACGCGCUCUUUCUUCCACAAGUCGUAAAGAAACGGCAGGACAGGAGAGAGAGAGAGAGAGAGAGAGAGAGAGACAGAGACAGAGGCAGAUUCUCUGCCCUCCUACUUCCCGUGUCUACCUCCGAGAGAGAGAGAGAGAGAGCGAGCUCCACCUGGCGAUCUGGGACACGGAGUCGUAAACACCAGGCAUUUGGAGUUCCUGAGUUGACAGACGGCCGACCUGCUCUCCACGACAAACCCACCCCCACCCCCACCCUCCCUCGAAUCCCUUUCCAAUCCAAUCCAAUCCAAUCAACCAUCAAUUUGCCUCUUUCUUUUAAUUGGGUUUCCGAAUCGCGAAAAGUGUUUGGAUUCUGGGUUUCCGAUUCGGUGGACGUCCACCUCCAGCUCCGGCCUGCCUCUGCCUCUGGGUUUUCAUUCAAAUUUAAGAUCUUUUGGGUCUGAAACAAUAAAAAACUUUCAGCUUGCUUGGCUGUUGGUGUAAGCUUGGAUAAGAUUCCGGUCGGCGGUCGGUGUCGUUGUUUGGAGGCUAAGGAAGGUUUCGGUUUGGGGCUUCCCUUAUAUCAAAUUUGGGAGGCUUUGGCUUUGAUUCAUUAGGAGUUGAGUUGAUACCUGCUGCUGAGAAUUAGUCAACAUGGUUAGUGGGCAUUUGUUCCAUUGUAGAAAGAAUUCAUGGCCGCCUGAGGAGUAUAUCAGCAAAAACACUUUGCACCUGGUUGGUUAUUCUCUCUCUCCUGUCUCUCUCUCUCUCUCUCUAUUUGUUUGUGUUAUUGAUUUGGGUUGUGUUUGGUUGCUGAGAAAAUGUAAGAGGUGGCAAGAAAACAAGCAAGUAUGGGUUCCUUAACUUCCUUUAACUCUAGAAUUUACUUGAUAAAGUCAGAGAUCAUAGCUAUAUGUUUGGUUUCAAUGAUGAUAGUCAAAUUCAAAUGCCUUUCAAUCCUAAACCCUGUUGUCUAAUAUAUGCAAUGCAAUUUAUUUGGUGAUUUCAUUUGCAUAUUCUUCAAAAGUUUUUGAACUUCGAAGGAAUUGGAGUAAGCAGUGGGAAUUUUAAUUAGCUAUGGAAAAAAUUAUUUGUUAACGUAGUUUAAUCAAAUAGCUCGUCUUGCAGAUCGAGUGAAUCAAAAUCCGUGCCAUGUUAAAACUUAAAGUUCUGCGGUUUAUCAAGUGUUAGUUCUACACAUGCUUAACCUGUAGGAUUUCCUACUAAAAUUCAUGCUUAAUUUGAAUGGUUUUUAUCUUUUGUUUUCUGGUUUUCUAUAUUGUGAGAACACCUGGAAUCCUACAUCUGUAUCGUUAUUCGAUAUUUUGUGUCUUAAUUCGACAUUUGUGUCAGUUACCGUUGGUGGAUUUCGGGUUAUUAGUUGCUAAUCUGUUGUAUCUACUCCAUGAACCCUUAUUCAAAAAAUAAACAAUUCUCACCUUCUCUGUGAAUUUUGUUUAGCAUAUUUUUUACUGUCUUAGCAAGCAAACUGAUUUUGGGCUAUUAUCUUUUGUGGUUCUUGUUGUUUAGUUUAUUCAAACUGAUUAUUUUUCUUGUUACUUUUGUGUAGUUUGAUUUUGAUAGUGCUGCCCCACCAGAACAUGCCUGGAGGAAGAAGUUAAACAGCCAGGCUAAUCUUCUCAGAGAAUUUAGUGUUACAUUUAGGGAAGCGAUAAAGAUGGUAAGCGGGUUGUUUUCUUUAUUGUCGUUGACUAAUAAAUACGUCCUGUGCAUUCUCAUGUUUGGAGCUUUUCUAUUUUCACCCAAUUUCCAGUAUCCCCUGCACAUGUUAUCUUUCUCUGACCAGUGUGGAAAAUUUUAAUACUAGGUUCGGUUAGGUAUACGCCUGUGGUCAUACAUCAGGGAAGAGGCUUCUCACGGAAGGGUAAAUUAUCUCAAUCUUCUAGAUAUAGAAGUCAUUUUCCUUUUUGGUCCUUUACAACUGGUAUUUGUAUGAUUUAUACCCACCUGUCAAAUGAAUGGGUGAAGAUAUGUCGUUACAAAGGUUGUUGAAACUUGGCCGCAAAUUUUUUUAUCCAUGCAGAAAGCACCUAUUGACCCUUUUACUCGAGAAAGUUGCAAGCCAUCUGCAUCUCAGGGGGUUCCACUUGGAGGGAUGGGGUAUGUUGCGAAUGAAUAGGUUACCUGAGUUCUAUGGACUAUUAUCUUUGUUAAUCUAAUAGUGGGCAAUUAUCUACACGUAUUACAGAAGUGGCAGCAUAUCUAGAGGUUUUAGAGGCGAGUUCAGGCAAUGGCAAAUCAUUCCUGGUAUCUGCAAAGGUUCUCCUGUCAUGGCCAAUCAGUUCUCUGUAAAAUCUCUACCCUUGAUCUUAUAUAGUUGUAAUUUAAUGUUGUUCUUUGCUUUCGUAACAUAUUUGCUACGCAUGUGUUGAUAUUUUAAGUUUCGUUUAUAUUAUAUAUUGACCUCAGGCUAGCCUGAUUACAUUACCAUCAUCAUUUAUGUCAUUUAUGUAGAUUUUACCACUAUCAUUGCUUCUGGGUUUAAAAUUUGCUCAGUUUCCACACUAUCUAUAUCAAAAUUGGCACCCGCAUCACUUUUGAUAUUGUCGCUUGAACCCACCUUAUUACCAUUGUUGCAACCUGCAACAAUCACCACAGAUAUGGGUUCUAUCACCAUAGUUACCACCUCAUGUUCAGUAUAUGCAAAUCCAACCAAAUCCAAACUGUUCCCUGUCAUUGUUUUUGGCAAGACCAUCCUCAACUCCACAACCACAUACACUGUAGUAUCCAUUUUUUUCUUAAUAUUAACAUACUUAGAGCUCGUUUUAUUUAUGAACUGAAGCCAAUACUUACAAUUGAGUUCAAAAGGUUUCUGGGUUUAAAAUUUGAAGUGCUAGAGAUUCAGUAUUCAGUGCUUAAUCAUCACCCUAGUAAUUGCAUGUGAAUUAGGUAGUCUAUUUGUUUUCUUCCCUCUAGGAGUGGACAUUUUCAUGGGUUAACCGCCCACACAGACCAACCCAACCAAUAAAAUUCAGGUUGGGUUGGUUCUACACUUUCAAAACUUAAUAUCAGGUCGUAACCCGCCCACCAGAUGGAGAAGUUUGAAACCGGUUUGCAACACUAUAUACCAGUUGAAACUCCACCCACCCACGUCAUGUUUAAUAAAAGGGUUUACUGUAUGCAUGACUUCAUUUGAUUUGCUAUUACUAACUCUAGAAACAUGUUCUGGCCCUUUUAACAUCUCUGGACCAUUUGACAUUUGAAACCCUUCACCUUCAAAAUCCUUCUAUUUUUGUUCUCUUUAUCUGUUGCCACCACUGCUAAAUUGCAAAGCCCCACUCUGGAAUUUUGUUGCUGCUCCAAGCUUCUGAGCAUCCAAAUUCAGCCACAACCACUCCCUCUAACUCCCUCACACACUUCUCUUUGGUAUAUCUCAGUCAGUCCCUCCUCGCAGUUGUGAAACCCGAUAAACCCGCUUAGCCCAACCCACAAACGAUUGGUCUGGCUGUGUCGGGCAUCCAAUUUUAUUGGCUUGCACCGGUUUCCUAGAAUCACCAACCCGGUUUCCUUAGAUUGGCCAAUGGAUUGGUGCAUAACCCAAGCCAACCCAUCUGUUGUCCACCCCUACUUCCAUCGAUUUGUUUAGUUGGUUAUGUGGUCUUCCUGCAAUCCCAAUUGUUUACAGUUCUGGUGGAGGCACAUUGCACAUCAAUCCAAAAUCUAGAAUAAAAUCUCUUGUCAGCGAAAAUCAGACUUUUGUUUUCUGCCUGUAAGUUUACUUGUCAUGUUAUAGUGUCUCAAGACCAUAUGGAGAAUUGGAGAUUGUGAUGUUGCUAUAUGGCUAGAAAGAGGACAUCUUUGUAAUACAUUCAAGAGCAGUGGACAAGGAAACUUCAAUUUACGUGCUCAUGGUUGUUACUGAAAUGUAGUUCAUACAAACAUUUGAUAAGGUGGUCUUGAAUUUAAUACAAAAUGAAAGUUUGGACGAUGUGUGAUGGUGUUGUGAAAAUCAAUGCACAAUAUAUACCGGACAAAUUAGUUGUUUAAAGGAUGAUGAAGUGAAGCGGUUUGAAAAUUAUGAAAGGAUAUGCAUUUAAGGCUUGAUGGCAUCUCAAAACUUUAGAAUCUCUGGGAUGCUGUCUAACUAUGUACAGUUCAGUUUGGCUGCUCUUUGCAACUCCAAUCUGUUACUGACACUGUAUUUAGCUGAGGAAUGUUUAUGCAUUAUUUUGUAUAAUGUACAGGAGAAGUGAAUAUUAAUAUUUUAUUAGUUGUUUCUAGAGAUAGAGCUCAUUUCUUUUGUCCUAUUUACUUUUUGUAAUGUUGUAAUUCUGACUCAGAGAUUUAUGUGAUAUUGCAGAUUUUUAUAUCUAGAGAAGGAACGAAUAAAAAUUAUGCAUCAGUCUUGGCCCCCGGUCAUCAUGAAGGAUUAGGGUAAGAGGGUAGUCGUUAAGUUAAGAAACCAUCUUCUGUAAUAAUUACAAUUUCUUACCACCGAAUGAUGAAUUUAUCAUACCUAUACAAUUCUUCAUGCUUUUUACCUUUGUUGACUGCAAGUCAAGACCAAGCUUGUGGGACCAUAUGUAAUAUUGUGUCUUCCUUUUAUGGCAUCAAGGGGAAUCUAAGAAGUCUAAUUGGCAAAUGUUCCUUUGGUACCAGGUCUAGUGGUCUGCUGUGACACUUCUUCAGGAACAUUAUAAGUAUCAAAAUUUAUAGGGAAUAAGAAAUUAUUGAAGCAUCAACGAACAAUAGACUUUAUUGUUACAUGAGGCAAUAUUUCAUUUUAACUGGACUAUCGUCAGAGUGUAGCAAGUUUGUAUUAUCAGAGGGUGUCUCAUUUGUAUUAAUGCAUAUCACUUUUGAGUUUUGUUGAUGGCUACGAGGAAUUUGAUGAAUAGUGCAUGAACUUGGUUUAACUAUUUUUGUAGCUCUAAAUUUACCUAUAGUAUUUGAAAUGUCCUGAUUAUUGACAUCUUGAUUUAAUUCGACUGUUUUCACAGAAAAGCUGAUGAUGAGGGUAUAUCAUCAUGGGGAUGGAACCUGGGUGGCCAGCAUUCAACAUACCAUGCACUAUUUCCAAGGGCAUGGACCAUAUAUGAUGGUAUCAUUCUUCUUUCUUUCCUUUUAGCCAUUGAUCACGUAAUUUGCCCUUUAAGCUGCUGUUUCAAUUUGGGUUGUAUUAUGUUUCAUUUUAGGUGAACCUGACCCAGAAUUGAAAAUUUCUUGUCGGCAAAUAUCACCAUUCAUCCCUCAUAAUUAUAGAGAAAGUAGUCUUCCUACAGCCGUUUUUGUUUACACGGUAGGCUCAUUCAACUUGAUACCAGAUAUGUACAGAUGAAAAAGUUCAUUGUUCCAUGAGCUCUUUCUGUAUUAGACAAGUGUUAACAUAAGGAUCUUACACAAGAAUUUCAGUAUAAUUUUCUAUGAUAUGAUUUGUUUAUAAGAGUCUUCUUUCUGAUACAGUUGGUGAACACUGGAAAAGAAAGAGCAAAAGUCAGCCUCCUAUUUACAUGGGCGGUAAGGUUAUAUUUUUUUAUUGGAAUAGUUUCCGAGCAAUUCAAAGAUUCUUGGAUAUUUAGUAAUUAUUGCUUUUCUGGGUGUAGAAUUCAAUUGGAGGAGUCUCACACUUGUCGGGCGAUCAUGUGAACGAACCAUUUAUGUGAGUAAAUUUGGUGGAUGUUGUAUGGCUAGUUGCCUACUAUACUAGUACCGUGUUUUUAACUUAUUCUAACUUACUUCUCUGCUUUGACAGUGGCGAAGAUGGAGUCUCUGGUGUACUUCUACAUCACAAGCAAGUCACCAAACCUUAUUACAUUUAUUUGACGGUUGGUUUGCAGAUUUCUCUGCCGAUACACUGUUUUCUAGGCCAAAAUGAAGACAUAGUGUUCAAACAACCCCAAACAAGUGAAAGAAGUCAACCAUUAGGAAAAAUAAGAUGCUUCUGCCUGACUAUGAACUUAAAAUCAAAAUUCCUUGUAAAAAUAUCCGGAAAUGAAAUAAAAAGCACAAAUAAAGAAGUAUGGACAGAUGUCAUAGGAGCAUAUAAGCAGAUAUAUUUAAAGAUUUUAGAUAGAUUGAUCGUCUGGUAAGAGUAAAACAUAUUUACUAAUUUAUUGGAAUUGAUAUGUUAAAUGCUAAUUCUUGCCUUUUUGAGUUCCGCGUUCUCCUAUUUUUAGUAAGUCUUUUCCAGUCAUCAACAAUAAGUGCUGUGGAAAAUUCAUAAUUGGUAUUUGGGGUCUCCACAUUUGUUAACAUUGAAAGUGUCUGCUUGUGAUCACCUUAUUUGAUACCUGUUCUUGUUUUUGUUCAACCAUAUGUUUUCAACUCCUCUUAGUUUGUUCAAAAUAAUGAGCUUUAUAUUCUUAUCGUUCUUGGUAACCUGAUCUGAUCUAAAGUAUUAGGUUAUCACUCUGAUUUUGCGAGUUGUUGUCAUUCACUAUUUUUAAACUUUAACUCGUUACAGUUGAUUUUAACUGUUUAUAACAACUAUGCCUAUGUUGCAGGACUGCAAAAGGGAAUCCUCCUGUUACAUUUGGAAUAGCUGCGUGUGAAACUCAAAAUGUAAGCGUGAGUGUGUUGCCGUGUUUUGGGUUAUCUGAAGGAAGUACCACUACGGCGAAAGAAAUGUGGAAUAAAAUGGUGCAGGUAUUAAAUCUGUGGUUUGCUUUCUCAAUUCUGUGCACCUUGUUGUUUUUGAUUGUGUAACAUAAUGCUAGGUGCGUCAUUUUUCUAUUUAGCCGAAUCAAUUUGCUGUCCUAUCCAGCAAAUGCUGUCAUUCAGCAACCUGGUGGAUUAAGUUCGAAUUUUGAGAAUAAUUCUACUUGGAUUUUGCCAUGGUGUUCCUUCCAUUGUUUUACAGAGUGAAUUUUUUUCCUUUCCUUAACCCUUCUCUGUCUUUUCAGGAUGGGCAAUUUGAUCGUGAUAAUUUCAAUUCUGGACCAUGCAUGUCUUCAUCACCUGGAGAAACACUCUGUGCUGCAGUAGCAGCUACUGCUUGGGUGGAACCUCAUGGGAAGUGCACCGUUGCAUUUGGCCUAUCAUGGUCAUCUCCAAAAGUAAAAUUUUUGAAGGGAAGCUCAUACCAUAGGUAAGCUUAUUGUAAUUUACACAUGAAAAGCUGCUUCAAAAUGAUGCAUAUUAAGCAGUACUGUACCUUUAUGAUUUAUAAAUGAAUGCCUUUAAGUAUUUUAUUCUAGAGAGCGACUGCAAUACUAGUGAUGUGCAUUUUGGGUUAUUUGAAUUUGUAAUUUUGCUGCAGGAGGUACACAAAAUUCUACGGGACCUCUGAAAGGGCAGCUCAGGAUUUGGUGCAUGAUGCGCUGACAAGUAUGUAUCUCUCUGUCUGUAUUGUGACCUUUUCAUCAAGGCACUAAUCUGUUAAUAUUCACUAGAUUUAGUUUUUGGCAUACUUUUUCUUGUUUAACAAUGGGUGCAGUAUAUGUGAUGGGUCCUGAUCACUUUUGAAAUCUGGACAGAUUAUAAGCGAUGGGAAGAAGAUAUUGAAAGGUGGCAAAGCCCUAUCCUCAGGGAUGAAACAUUACCAGAAUGGUAAGAACGGAAGCAUUAACUGUGAUUGUUCUUUGUUAAAUCAUAAUGUUCCAUCAGAUAAUAAAUUAGUUUCCUAAGUUGGUGAAUUUGCCUAAAAAUACCCUGCAGGAGAAUUCAGAGCUUAAGUUUAGGGUAGCGUUGUCAAUUCUUAAAAGUUUUGAAAAAUAAGUUCACCGGUUCGCAUAAAGAACGGCUUACAUAAAGAAAGAUGUUUGCAUGUGUGUGCGCGAUAUGUGCCCUUUGGUUUGUUAUAAUGGAUAAUGCUGUCCACCUCAAACAUUGGAGUUGGUUUUGCAUCUCAUUUCUUUAGAGAUCAUGAUGUUAGAUACCUUCCUUAUUAUUCUCAACGAACAGCCCACAACCGUGUCCACUGAAAGCUGUUUUGAGCUCACUCGAAUGAUUGGUCCAGUUUCAAUGGUCUCUGCAAAUAUUGUAGUCAAUGCAUCAUAUAUGCUCAUUUCCAUUACAAAUAGAAACUCCCCAACAAAUAAUCCAUUGUGUAAACAUGGAGAAGUUACUUUGCUAUGUUUACCUGUCAAUGAUUAGCUAUGAACUUGGUUCAUCGAUCUUGUAGCUAAUACUUCACAAAAUGUUUGCAGGUACAAGUUCACAUUAUUCAAUGAGCUCUACUUUUUGGUGGCUGGUGGGACAGUUUGGAUCGGUAUUUAUCUAAUCCUGAUUUCCUUGAUAUCUCACAUCUGGAAAUAGCAUCUAAGAAUGUUUUUCAUGUGGACACUAGCUCUAAUCCGAAUGUGCACUUUUUUGUUAAAUAUGUCCUUCCCUUUUGGCUAAUUUUACCUUAGAAAUGAGUUAUAACUGUGAUUGAUUGGUACAGAUUCUCCCUUGCCUGCAACAAACAUUACAAACAAUCGACACCAAUUGACAAAUGUUGAAAAUACAGAUGUUAAGGUUAGUGAAGCUGAAGUAAAUAGCAAUCACAACGCAGCUGUUGAGCACACUGCAACUGGUUGCCAAAGGAGUGUACAUUUGGACCCACAAAAUGCCAGUGAAGAUGUUGGGAGGUUCCUCUAUCUGGAAGGAGUGGAAUAUAUCAUGUGGAACACAUAUGACGUACACUUUUAUGCAUCAUUUGCCCUUCUCGAGCUGUUUCCCAAAAUUGAACUUAAUAUUCAAAGGGACUUUGCAAAAGCCGUCUUAUCAGAAGAUGGAAGAAAAGUAAAGUUUCUUGCAGAGGGUAACUGGGGAAUUCGUAAGGUUAGAGGAGCUGUCCCUCAUGAUCUGGGAACACACGAUCCCUGGAACGAAAUGAAUGCAUAUAAUAUUCAUGAUACUAGUAAGUGGAAGGAUUUGAACCCAAAGUUUGUGCUUCAGGUGUAUAGAGAUUUUUCUGCAACAGGGGAUAUGUCAUUUGGAGUAGAUGUUUGGCCUGCUGUUCGUGCUGCAAUGGAGUACAUGGAACAAUUUGACCGAGACAAUGAUGGUCUCAUUGAAAAUGAUGGUUUCCCUGAUCAGACCUACGAUGCUUGGACAGUUCAUGGAGUAAGUGCUUACUGUGGGUGCUUGUGGCUAGCUGCACUUCAAGCUGCAGCCGCAAUGGCCCUUCAACUAGGCGACAAGGCCUUUGCCGAAUGGUGCAAAGCCAAAUUUUUAAAGGCAAAACCAUCUUUUGAGGAAAAAUUGUGGAAUGGUUCUUAUUUUAAUUACGAUAGUGGAUCAAGUAGUAACAGUAAGUCUAUACAAGCAGAUCAACUGGCUGGGCAGUGGUAUACGGCGUCUUCUGGUUUACCUUCACUUUUUGAUGAUUUUAAAGUCGAAAGCUCUCUGCAGAAAAUCUAUGAUUUCAAUGUCAUGAAAGUUAAAGGAGGAAAAAUGGGUGCCGUAAAUGGAAUGCAUCCCAAUGGGAAGGUGGAUGAGUCUUGCAUGCAGUCACGUGAAAUAUGGACUGGUGUCACAUAUGGGGUGGCUGCUCUGAUGAUUCUUGCUGGAAAGGAGAAAGAGGCUUUCGCUACUGCUGAAGGUAUUUUUAUUGCCGGCUGGUCUGAAGAUGGCUUCGGGUAAGUAGAACUUAUACUUACAUUAUUUAGAGUAACCUAUAGACUAUUGUUAAUGUGAUCCAACUCUUUAUCCAUGUCAUGUGCAUUGAAAAACUCAUGGUUUCUAGUUUUUAAGUUGAUUUCUUUUUUUCCUCCGGCAAAUUAAGUUAUUCAGGCAAACUUGCUCUGCUGUUUGAGUUUUUCAUAAUCAUGUCUGACAUGACUUUUGCGGAGGACAAAUAAUGUCUGACAUGACUUUUUGUUGUCAUGUUUUAGUAUUAACAGAGUUAGUAUUUUGAUUCUACUACCUACAGAUACGCUUUCCAGACGCCCGAAGGAUGGACGAUGGACGGCCACUUCAGAUCUCUAAUAUACAUGAGGCCACUAUCUAUUUGGGGGAUGCAAUUCGCGUUGAACAUGCCCAAGGCAAUUCUCGAGGCUCCUCAGAUCAACAUAAUGGACAGAAUACAUUUAUCGUCUGUCAGUUCACGAUCCUCUCACAGCGAAACAGGUGUGAGAAAGAUUGCAACCAAGGCAAAGUGCUUUGGAGAUUCUGUUUUUAACUGUGCAUGCUGAUAUUGCUGAUAUUGUAACAUGUAACUUGGUUGUAUCGUAAAACAAGUGUGGUGAAAUCUUCGCUUCCUCGAACCCUCUCGAUGUCAAGUAAUAUAUAAGCCGGGAGAGGUUUGGGGGAAGUCCUGAAGAAAUAGCCAAAUAGGUUAUUAAAAAAAAAAAAAAAAAAAAGAAAAAAAAAGUUGUUUUCGCACCAUGUUCAUGUUCAGGUAUCUAAUUCUGAGUUAAUACAGAAAAAUCUUGAGGAGGAUGCCUAAGAUCCAAGACUUACAGCUUAAGCUUUGGUUCCAGAUUUGCCAAAGCUCCACAGAGACUUCCCAAUCUAUGGCUCAACUGCAAUUGGUGGUAAUUUACCCUAAGGUUCUAUUGUACCCCACGGUGCCUGCCUUAUGUUCCGGUGUUUUUAGUCGUUAGAUUUUGAUAAUUGUAUUUUUUCUAUGGAUCUAAUAACUAAAAAUUCCGGAGCAUAAUGGAAAACUCCGUAAUUAUUUUACAUGAAUAAAAUCUGUGGUAAAAAUUGCCACCUUCCUGUUCCUAAUCUCUCCUCUACAUAAACCAUGAGCUCAAUUAACUGCAUGCGUUCUGGCUUGAACAAUUGCUUGUGUAUUUUCAUUGCUCGACGACUUCUUCACCGGAAAAUAUACUACGUUCCCCCCCAAUACCUGUAAAUCAUAGUUUGAAACAAGCACAUAUACUUCUUCAAAAUUACGUGUCAAAUUGUGACCCUUAUACAAUUAGUAAUAAUGACUGUUGAAAAAGGAGCAAAAGAUAAAUGUCUUAGUGGUCCUCCUCAGGCCUCAAUGUCAUCACAUUUUGGAAGUUAACUGUCCUUGACUCUUGAUGCAAGUUGACGCUAACAAGAACGGUCUAUUGAGAAGAACAACUUGUAUGGAACGUGUUUAUCAAUUACCACCAAAUGACAUUACAAUCUAAUAAUAUUAUGUCCCGUGAAGAAAAAUUUACAUAUAACAGAGUUUUAUUAUAAGAAAACAACAUAAUGACAGUGAACUUGUUUCAUUAAGAAUUUUAAGCGGUUUAAAAUAGAAAUGAGACACCUUCACCACUCAUCAUUAUCCUCAUCAUUUGUCAAAAAGAGUUCCGUUCCAUUCCAUUCCAAAGAAGAAAAUAGAAAAAAGAAGAUGGUCUUGUCACUCUUUGUGGGGUCCAGAUUAUCUUAGUUGCACUUUUGCGUCCGCACACCUUUUUAGCAAAAUGUUCAACUUAACCCAUGAGUUUAUAUCCAUCACAAACUAUGCUGAUAAUGUUGCUUGAAACCUAAUGUAUCGGUUCGUGUUCUGAAUACACGAAUUUUUUUUAAAUGUCAAUCCUUUAGUGUACAUAAAUUAAUUUUUUUCGUUAAAUGAAAUUUAAGUAGGAGUAGAUAAUGUUGAUUGUUAUUGAUGCGAUGUAGAAGAAAGCAAGCAUGGUUUUGUGGUUUAUGGGUUGCGAUGAAUGUGGACAGGUACCGGGCUCUAUUACAUUCCAUACUUUGACCAUUCAUAAUCCAAAUUUUAAGCCUUUUUUUAAUCCUAAAUCCAAGUAUUUAAGAAUAUUUCGAUUAAUUUAAUCUACAGAUUUAUUUGGUUAAUGUUCACAUUAAUUUGAGAUCUAAAGACCAAUAGUAUUCAACCUUUAAAAUAUACACGAAAUUGUAUUUUGGUCGAAAUUCCUAAAAUUCAAGGAUCGAUAUGAAAAUGGGGUUGAAAUGCAAACUUAAACUUAUAUCGAUGAGAUAUAGAAAAAUCAAUGAAUAUCAAUAAUAUUUGCUGGAAACCAUUAAUAUUAUUGAGGUUUUCGGAUUAUUUUCGAUCAUCUGAACCCUUGGGUUGGAGAUGAUGCAAAAUCCAAAUACCUUUUUCCUUUUUCUUUUGUGUAUUAUUAUUUCUUCAACUUAGAUUUGAUUGGAGCGGAUGAUCGGACCACAAAGAAAGACAAGGUCACAACGCAUCCACAUGCGACUUUGAUUCGGAAAAUAGAUACGUGUCAAACCAUCAAUUCUUGGUGAUCUCUUUUGAAUUUUCAACUUGGAUGCAGAUUGUAUGUCCUCUUGUUACCGUACCAUUCUUUAUCUUCUCUUAUUUGUGUUGUCAUGAUUAAGCCAAAUUAAUAUUUUAUAUUUCUAUUAUUUUUUAUCUUAUUAUUUCUAUUAAAAAAUAAAUAUAAAAUGUUGACGUGACUUAAUCGUGACCACACAAAUAAGAAUGAAUGAGAUGAAUACGGUAACAGAAUGACAGACAAUCUGCCUCCUCCUUUCAACUCCACUCCCUCCCCUUGUUAUUUUAAAACGGGAAAUGGCUUAAACAUGUGUCAUUUUUCUAUUUUUAUACGCAUCUCUUUAAUUUUCUUCACUGUUUUUAUUUGUUGAUUCACAUUAAUAGCCAAGAAUAAAUAGGAGUGUGUGAGGUUAUAAACAAUGUGUAAAAAUAGGUAACAAGAACGUGAAAAUCAUCUAAAUUUAACUGUGGUGAUUUUAGCUCAAAUAAGAGUACUAACUUACACUAUGUUUGGAUAAGAAAAAUAAACUUGGAAUUUGGGUAAAAAUCAGAAUUUAUAAAUUGACAUGCACCGAUUCCCUUGCUUGAUUCAUAAACAUAUAAAUUUAGAAUUUCCACAUGGAAAAAAACUUAGAAUUUGAGACCUCCAAUUUUCAAGUUUAAAUUUCAUAUAAAUAUGUGUCAUUUCUUAAUUUCUAUGAUUGAAAGUUUAAAAAUAACAAAUUUCAUAUUCAAUUCUAAUGUUUUUUUUUUAGGUUUAACAAACAAGAAAAUUCAUAAAUUCUAGAAAAUAAAAUUCCGUAUUUUUAAUUCCGUCAUUUUAAAAUUCCUUAGUAAUCUUAAUUUUUGUCAUCCAAAUAUAAUGUUAUAUUUCAUUUAGUUUUAUCACGAAUUUGCUAUUUUUAUACCAAACUAUAAUAAUAAAACUAAAUGGAUUAAAUCACGAAAAUUAAGUAAUGAACAUGUAGUUAAGUUGAUUAUAUAAGGCAUUUAUCAUAUCCCAAAUUUAAUUUUCUCUUCCUUCAGUCCAAUAUAACUUAUAAAAAGUCACAGAAUUAAAAGUAGGAAUAUAAUCAGACAAAAUCUGUUUAAAAAAAAGUCAGACAAAAAAUUAAAUUUAUGUUUAUAUUUUUUUAGAAAAAGAGGAUAUUUAUAAAAAAAAAAGAACUUUUAACAAAAAAUUUCGAAUACUGCUCAUUUUAAUGAAAAAAUACAUUUUUAUUUUAAAAAAUUAAUGUCAUUUUCGUUAGAACUGUUUUCAAACCAUUUCUUAUUUAUAAACCAAGAUCCAAUUACUUCCUUCCAACUAAACAGCGACGCGAUUCCCUCGGACUCUGCAAACAAGAACAAUCACCCUCCCAUCCCUUCCUCCUACAUCGUUGCUUAACCAUCUCUCUCCUCUCUCUCUCUCUCUCUCUCUCUCUGCCGGUCCGAACCCCAGAAGAAGCCAAGCCACACUAGUCGCAUCGCCAUCUCCGACUUCACUCCGGUACGAUCCAUCUCUCCUUUCUUUAUUUUCCCCGCGAAAUUGUUCUGCUUAUUAUUAUUAUUAACCUAUGAUGAUUGUGUAUGUUUAUAUGUAUUAGUUUUUGUUCGUUCUUGGUGAUGAAAGUUCAUGCUUUUCACCGCCUUUUUAUUUGGACUUUUGUUAAUUUUGCUUUUCAUUAUCUGGGAAUUUUAUUGGGUUAGUUGGGUCUUGUUCCUUCAGAUUCAAAAAAAAAAUGUUUCUUUUUAUAUUGGUUCCUCCACUUUCUCAGCUGCCAAACAGAGUGCUAGCCUUUUCCUCUGUGCAAUUCCUUGAAAAUAUGUAUUAUUUUUAUAUUUUUAUGAUGAUGAUAUUGUGGUUGCUGUAGAUUCAGUUGGAUUUACUCUGUUAUCAUGUCGAGGAAGAUGCUAAUUGAUGGUGAGGUGAACCAACCUAAUGAACAAGAGGCCCACUACGACUUCGACUUGUUUGUUAUUGGGGCCGGAAGCGGUGGUGUCCGUGCCUCCAGAUUUUCAGCUAAUUUUGGAGCUAAGGUACAUUCAUGAUGCACAACCCAAACAACAUUUUCGUCGAUUAUGUUUUCCCUGUACUUUGCUUGCCUUUUUCUGAUAGAGGAGCAUAUUAUGGGUUCAUUUCAUUUGAUUUCAUAGGUUGGGAUAUGCGAGCUUCCAUUUCAUCCUGUCAGCUCAGAAGUAAUUGGAGGAGUGGGUGGAACGUAUGUUCAUUAGCAAAUUGAAUGUUUUCUUUGGUGGUCUGCCACAUUUCCGCUACUGUUAAAACUUAUGAAAUUUCAAGUUGCUUAUACGGGUUUAUGUUUGGACGUUUGGUUUUCAGAUGUGUCAUUCGUGGUUGUGUUCCCAAAAAGAUUUUGGUGUAUGGAGCGUCUUUUGGUGGUGAAAUUGAGGUGAGAAUAUGACAUAUACAUGACUAUUUAUAGUUGAUGUUAAAUAGUCUGGUGAAUCCGUAACUCAAGCAUCUAGGAGGAUCUUAGAAGCUGAUUUCUUGUGAAUUAGCAAGAAGACAAAAACAAACAGAAACAAUUUAGUUGACACUCGAACAAAUUGAUCUGCAUAAUCUAUCGCAAUGCGAGGUCUAUAGCAUCUGCAGUGUGUGUGCGUGUGUUCUUUUUCCUAUGUAUUUUGGUAUUUCCAGUGGAAAACCUGUUUGUCAUGCUUGCAUUGAUAUUUAUUUCUUCUUAUUAAUAAAGAAUUAAUAAAAGACAUGGCCUAAUGGAUUUAUUGGUUUUGUAAUUGCAGGAUGCCAGGAAUUAUGGCUGGGAAGUGAAUGAGAAAGUUGAUUUCAACUGGAAGAAACUUUUGCAGAAGAAGGUUGGUUAGGAUAGAGUUUGAGUUGUAAAUUCACCGUACCUAAUGCCAUGUGAUUGAAAUAUCAUUUUAUCUGAAAUAUUUAGAUGUGUGUUGCCUUGCAAAAUUAUUACUGAUAUGCCAAUUGUGAACUUCUACUUGCUUGGCCUAAUUGUUCUAAAACCCCACAGAAAAAGAAAAAAAAAGUGUUAAAUAUGUAUUGGCUUUGGGUUUUAUUUUACAAUUCUUUACUUGGUGUCUGCAAUCCGGAAACAUUUUCCCCCAGUUCAUUUAAAAUACCUUUUAUUAUUCAUUAACUGGUGAUUACAACUUGAAAUUAACAUGUAUUUGUCUUCUUUUAUAGACGGAUGAAAUAGUUCGAUUAAAUGGAAUAUACAAGCGCCUAUUGUCGAAUUCUGGGGUUAAAUUCUUUGAAGGAGAGGGCAAGAUAGUUGGUCCUAAUGAUGUCGAGGUGACACAGUUGGAUGGCACUAAAUUGAGCUAUUCUGCGAAACACAUAUUGAUUGCAACUGGCAGCAGGGCUCAACGACCUGCUAUUCCUGGUCAGGUAGAUUUUCUGCACACUGGGAUUCGAAAUGAUAUGCUAAAUGUUUAGUUGGUACUUUAUUACACUUUUUUUUUGCACCAGGUGCUUUAUGAAAUUAUGCAGUUAUUUUUUUUUUAAAGGAAAAUUUAUUGAUCAUCAAAGUGAUAGUUUGUCUUUGAUUUCUUUAUUCAUUGCAAAGAAAACGUAACAAUUGAAAGAAACUGAAGGAGAGUCCUUUAUAUUUGAAGUACAGCCAAACAAGCUUUUUGUCAAUCCAUUUAAGAUUAACAGAGCUGGUGUUUAUAGUAUUCAACUGUCCUUCAUUUACAACUCCACAGGCAGUAUUGCCUGAGUUUGAUUAAAUGCUUAAGAAUGGUUGGUGCAAUUCUAUUAUGUGCCGCUUAUGUAGUUACCAUGUUUUCUUCUAUUGUUCUAAUUUAUAUUAAUUGACAUUUAUAGGAAUUGGGUAUAUCAUCUGAUGAAGCAUUGAGUUUGGAGGAGUUACCUAAACGUGCUGUGGUGCUCGGGGGAGGGUUUGUCUUAGUCUCUUCCUUUGUGUUGUUUGUUUGAUUUUAUCAGCUUAGCAAGCUCAUGAUUUUUUCCAUUAUCCUCUCUUCAUAUUAGGUACAUUGCUGUUGAGUUUGCUUCAAUAUGGCGUGGGAUGGGUGCUUCUGUGGAUCUAUUCUUCAGAAAGGAACUUCCAUUGAGGUUGUUAUUUGGACGCUAUUGCUCUUUCCAUUUAUGAACUGUUAGGCUCUUUGAUCUUUAUGGUUGAGUUAGUGGGAUGGAAAAUUUUUCUGUCUAUUAUUUAAUAUUUGUUAAGAGUGUCCCACACUAAGGUAUUGAUUGUGUGCUGAGUUGGAUAUUUAACAAUUUGGGAUUUUUUUUUUUACCGCAAGGUAGAUAUUUUUAUUGUGCUCGAAUUUUGAAUAAAUCAAGUGGGAUGACUCUGAAAUUAGGAUAUAGACAAUGAACUGUACAUUCUUUGUUAAUGAGUUUUUUUGGACCAUUAAUCAUCAAUUUCCUAGUCGGUGCACCAUUGUUACUACCAAAGAGUUUUAUAUCUUGCAUGAUUUACGGAACCUAAUGCUCUUUUUUUUUCUUUUUUUUUUUUGAAAAGAAAAUUUGGCUUGUUUCCUUAUUAUUCGUGCCUCUUACGGAGCUUCCUGAUCGAAAGACAUUUAAAUUUAGUUUUUGAUUAUGCUCCACUGACCUUGCAUUUGAUAGCCAGAAGUUGUAUCCUUUUCAUGUAUGAGAAGUCUAUUGCAUUCUCAAUAUAUCUGGCAAUUCUUUUGCAGAGGUUUUGAUGAUGAAUUGAGGGCAGUGGUUGCACGGAAUCUGGAAGGAAGGGGUAUUGAUCUACACCCGCAGACAAAUUUGACAGAGGUAUUCAGUCUCAUAGGAAGUGUGGAUUGAACCUUUUUUGCUAACCUUGCUUUUGUAGUUUAUAUGUUUUAACUUCUGUUUGAUCUUUGCUUCUCAUUGUAAUGAAUUAUUUCUGUGAAUUCAGCUAGUAAAAACAGAGGAUGGCAUAAAAGUUCGCACAGAUCAUGGGGAAGAGCUGAUAGCAGAUGUUGUACUGUUUGCCACUGGUAACUACAUACUUGUUUGGUUGAAUUUCUUAUAGUGGACCUCGAAGUUAAUGUUACUUGCUAAUCUAAAAAAAUUUAAACUAUGCACAAAAAUAAAUGAAAAACCAUGAGCUCAUACUUAUUACUGAUGUUAGCAAUAAAAGAUUUCAUAUUUUAGCAUAGGUUGGUGGAUGAUACAUUUCUAAUGUAGGUUAAUGGAAACAUUUUCCUCUUCAACUAAUGUCAAUAAGAAAACUUUUCCUCUCCAAGAAUCCAACUCAAGUCAAUAUCACUUGUUAAAGUUUCUCUUCAUUGAAAUUGAUUGACCCAAUGGUCCCAAUCCUAAUAUUGAAAUGCACGAGUCUAUGUCAGAGGUUAGAUCAUGGUUGCACAGAAAUUACGAUUUGUUCGAAACAUUUAUUUUCACUUGCAUUUUAAUUUAUUUUUCAAUUUUAAUGUGAAAAAUACACCAACAUUGAUGCACUUCGAAUUUCACCUUAUUGCAUGUCCUGAGUUUAAAUGAUUAUAAUAAUUCCGACUGUUGCACUAUAACGUUUAUCCAGACAUUUUGGGAAUUUAAUGUGAUUCAUACGUAUAAUGGUCUGUUCACUUGUAGUAUAAACUUGCGUUUUUUUCUCAUAACUUGGAGCAUUUUAGGGGUGAACAUCAUAAUGAUAUCUUUGUAGUUAUGGUUUUACCUUAGUUUCCUGCAUAGAGAUGAUUUUAUCUUGGUAUAAAUGACAGGUCGGUCUCCCAAUACAAAGAGGUUGAAUUUGGCAGCUGUAGGCGUGGAAGUUGAUAAAACAGGAGCUAUAAAGGUUUCUAGCUUCGUUUUUUGCAUUUUGUGCUUAUUAUCAUUUGAUAUUUUCAUGUGUUUCAACUUUUGAAAUGGAUUUUUUUGUGCCUGAGUUUUUAGUAUUUUCUAGACAUUUGAAGUUAUUGCGAAUCCGGUGGUAGUAUCUCCUGUUAAUUUGUAGUUGCGAAUGUGAGAGUUCAAUAUUUAGUUUGAGUCCCCCUGCCCUUUUACUGUUUGAGAAGGUAAAUGGCUUUGCUUGCACAUUUUCGGGUUUCAACUUUUGAAAUGGAUUUUUUUGUGCCUGAGUUUUUAGUAUUUUCUAGACAUUUGAAGUUAUUGCGAAUCCGGUGGUAGUAUCUCCUGUUAAUUUGUAGUUGCAAAUGUGAGAGUUCAAUAUUUAGUUUGAGUCCCCCUGCCCUUUUACUGUUUGAGAAGGUAAAUGGCUUUGCUUGCACAUUUUCGGGUUCCCUAAUUACUGUUUGGGUGUUCAGUAAUAUCUCAAUUAUCUGUCGUAUUGUGGCCCCCUGCCUUUGUGGUCAUUAAUGCAACCAUCAAAGGUCGACCCCGUAGCAGAUUGACCAGUUCAACGCAUACACUUGAUAUGCAGCUGGGGUUUGGAAUCAUAACUUCUAUUUUCAGGUCCCAUCCUGGUCAAUUUUAGGUGUGUGCCCUGUAAUUAAGUGAUGAGACUGGUUUAUUGACUUUGGUAAAUAUGUACGAAGUACAAGCUGGGGUUGCAUAUGUUAUGCCACCAAUGACCUAUCAUAUAGAGCCCUUUCUUUUGGGUGGUCUCCGUUAAAGGAUGGAGCCAGGGAUAUAUAUUUCCUAUUUUGUGGAAAAUAUUGAAACCAAAUAAAGCCUUUUCUUUUAGUUAAAAAACAAUAUAGGUUUACAAAGUUGACUUUUGUUAUACUAAUUCAUCUUACCUUGUUUGUCCGUUUCUCUUUUCCUACAGUUAUUUUUCGUUUGUCUGAUCCUUUGUCCUAAUUUGAUAUUCCAUGCUGGCAUGAUAGAUUGCACUUGAUGUAACAGGAAUAGUUAACUUUUUACUCUUCGAGCAAUAAUAACAUAUAGGUCUCUGCUGUCUUUUCUCUUCCAGGUGGAUGAGUAUUCACGUACCAAUGUACCUAGCAUCUGGGCUGUUGGCGAUGUUACAAACCGAGUAAACCUUACCCCUGUGGCUCUAAUGGAGGGAACAUGCUUCGCAGUAUGUAUUUACUUUAUCCACUUUCCUUUAACUUUAUCAAUUGUGUAAUAUUUUCCCCAUAGAUUCUGUGCUAUCUCAACAAGCUGAUGAUUUGAUGCUGUUAUUCAUUUACUUUAUGUUCCGUACAGAAAACAGUUUUUGGUGGGGAACCUAGCAAACCAGAUUACCGCGAUAUACCCUGUGCAGUGUUUUGGUAAUAAUUUUUUCUUUUAAUAAAUGGGCCUUCCUUUGUUUAUUUAAUAGGUGACUAUUUUUUAUAAUGGGGCUGGUCCUGAUAGAUACGUUUCAUACUUCUGUUUGGUGGUCUGCAGCAUACCACCUCUUUCUGUUGUGGGCCUUACUGAAGAGCAGGCAAUAGAACAAGCCAAGGGUGAUAUAUUGGUUUUCACAUCAACUUUCAACCCAAUGAAGAACACUGUAUCUGGGUACGUAUGUCAUUAUGAGGUCUUGCUCUAAAUUAAGUUCAUGGUCUAACAAUCAUAUGCUAUCUUUGGAUCAUAGCAUGUCUCCACAUCUUUGGAUCAAUAUGAGAGGUCACUUAUCAGUUGCACAAUUAUAUAGGAAAAUUUCUGAUUUCAUUCAUCGUCUGGUUAUAAGCUAUAUUGUUAACCUUGAACCUCUAGUUACUCAUUAUGAGCAAAAUUUGUAGUCUUCCCUCGGUGUUUUAAGCACGAACUCAUAGUGUUCUCAUAAUUCUUAUGUAGACGACAAGAAAAGACAAUUAUGAAGCUUAUUGUUGACGCUGAGACGGAUAAAGUUAUUGGGGCAUCCAUGUGUGGGCCAGAUGCAGCUGAGAUUAUGCAGGUAUAUAUUCUGUUACUUGUACAACGUGUAAAUAUGAAAUGAUCUGUUCUGUUUUGUUAAAUUUAACAGUUUUGAGAUGAACCAUGCUCUAUGAUUGCCCAAGAUUUCCAUGUUUUUACUACCUAAGUAAUGGAAUAAUUUGACUACCAAGUCCUUGAGUGUGUGUGUGUGAGUGCGCGCGCGUGUGGUACUUGAGUAUCAUUUCUGGGAUAGUAGGCUUCUUUGAGUUUGAUCUGACAAAGUAUUUUCAUACCAAGGCUUCGACAUGUUUAGGAGAUGAGGAUGAGUCCGGUAACAAUCUUAAGAUAAGAAUAAAAAUUCAAAGUUGUACAGCCUCUGGAAGAGCGUGUUUAAAAUUGAUUUUCAAGUAAGGUGUAUGGUCAUGUGGAGGAGAUCUUAGUUUAUGUCACAGGAAAGCUAAAACUAAUUAGCUGAUAGGAAGCUUUAACGUGUUGGUGAGGUUUUCUGUAACUCGAACUUAUAGUGCUUCUAAACGCGGUCUAUAGUACGUUUGAUCUCCUUUUAAUUUUACCAUCUGUUUUGGGUGCUUAAACAGGGAAUCGCUAUUGCAUUGAAGUGCGGAGCAACUAAGGCACAAUUUGACAGUACGGUAAGUCGUGUAUUUAGAGCUGGGGACGAUUCAAUUUCUGAGCUAUACUUUUACUGAAAAUGUUUUUUCUUUCAUUCAUUGUGCAGGUGGGAAUUCACCCUUCCUCAGCAGAGGAGUUUGUGACAAUGCGUUCAGCGACAAGGCGUAUUGCUGCAGGUACCAAACCAAAGACAAAUCUGUAGGAUGCGAACAACAGACGGAAAGAAUAGUAUACAAGGUCUGGAGGAGACUGUUUUGCUCUUACCAGAGGAAACUUAGGUAUAUUUGGGAAAUGGAAAUCGGUUGAAUUUUGUCAGAAUAAAAGCUUCUUCGAACGCAUAUCUGAUUAGGGCCGUAUAGGUUUUCUGAUGAUUUAUGAAGAUACAAAACUGUUGUAUUCAUACACAUACACUGGUUCGAUCCAACAUUUGAUAUCUAUGAUUUUGUUGCUGUGUUUUACAUCCUCAGCUGCGUUAGUUGAUAUUCGAUAUUGUUUAAUUGAUUGCGCGUUUGAUUCUGUUUCGCCUUUUCGACGAGGAAUAGGAUUCUGUACUUUGUAAGGGGUCUGUUAUAAGGAAAACUAAUGAACAGUACCGAAAGGGUUUCAUUAUAAGGAAAACUUGUUUUGUUAAAACGCGAUUGAUUCUGUUUCUCCUUUUCGACUAGCAAUAGGAUUCUGUACUUGUGAGGGGUUUUAUUAUAGCUUAAAACGACACGAAAUAUAUGAACAUAAUCUGCACUCUUGUAGGACGAUAUGGGAGAAUAAAGCACAGAUUUUGUAUGCAAAGGCAAAAUACAUUACCACUGAACAACCAAAUACAUGCACUAUAGCAUAAAACUGCACAUGUAUCUAAUUACACAAGUAUAUAUUUCUUGCCUAAGCUACUGGUGUCCCGUCACAUACGUCGCAAAUCGUAUACCCGAGACCUUCACAAUAUGGACACUUUGCUCCCUCCUCCACCCAAUCCAAGAACUGCUAUCAUUCAACCCAAUAAUUACAAGUUAAUCUUGGAUAAUUCUGGGAAAGUAAGAGAGAAAAAUAAUAAUUAACGUAAAUCAUCUCACCUGUUCUUCGAUGUUUGGCUCGCCCGUUCCGUCACAUUCUGCACAAGUAAGAACUGCUUCAGUUACUAAGAGCCAUCUCAGUGUUCAACAUUAUAUUUGGAAAUCAAAUCACAGAAAGAUAUAAACACGCAUACGAACAAGGGUUGAAUUUAGUGAGAAGGACAGAGGGGGAGUACCGGUACACAAUAAGCGACCCUCCCCUCGGCAAGUAAGGCACCUUGUUGAGGCACCAGCCGUCUUGCUAUCACUACCUUUUUUCUUGUUGGUGAUAAGUCUAGAAGAAUCUUCCCAGCGGUUCUCUCCUAGAAGAAAAACUCGAUGGUGGGAUACCUCUACUUCUGUACCGUCUUCUUCUUUCACUACUGUUUGCUGGACCUCUGUAAUUUCUGUUGCAGAAGUAACUGCAGCUCCAUUUGCAUCUUCCUACGCAACAGAACCCACUCAACCAUUACAAGAACCGCAAUGUGUUUAAGCCAAUGUUAGUAUGAUGUCAAGUUUAUUUCUUUGUUAACUACUCGUCUCAUGAAGUGGAACUACAAAACCUCGUGUCUGUGUAAGCAGAAUAGAGUCAGAUAUUUAGGUCCGUUUCAUUAAGUACUAGUGCUUCUUCGUUGGUACUCGAAGGCUCAAUUCACUUCAAGUUGGAACUAUAAGACGAGUUUUUGGUUCCUCAUCGAGCAAACUAUUAUUUUUCAUCCAAGUGAGGAAUGCAGGUGAUGAUUUUCCAAACCAAUUAUGUUAGCUCUAAGCAUGAUUACAGAGUACGAUAUAUUGGUACUGAAACUUAAACAUUAGUUUCUUCCUUUUAGUAAAGACUUACGCGGUUUGUCCGGUAACUAAUAUAUGAAUGCUGCUAGCCUAGAACCUCAUGGUUCCAACAUACCUUUGGAGUAGUCACCCUUUUGUCAUCUGCAACCUCAAUUGUUGGAUCCGCAAAUAACAGUUCAAGAAGUUCUGCAGUCACUAUUCCGUCUUGAGGAAUGUCUAAGGAGGCCUGUCGAACAAGUUAUUACAAGUUCAGUAACCUACAUAACACCUUCCACUGCCAUUAUUUUGUUUAACCUUAUGCAGUCGCGUACAACGAAAUCUGAAACUUACUUGCCAAGUUUUGACAGCGCGUUCUGUUCCGGUUGAGAAGCUGGAAAACUCCAUGUCUUCCUCACCCGAGUAAAAACCGAGUUUUAGCAAUGCUUCCUGUCAUCAACAAUUCAAAUCACUCCAAUAUCGGAACAUUUCUGAAUGCAGAAUAAGAAAGACAAAACCCAAUUGAAAAAUGUUGAUGCAUUUUGGUUAAACAGAAGGAAUCGUAGAAUCCGAAAAAUCAAAACUCGCCUUUCAAAAGCAGACCUGCAUUGCUCGGACUUCUUCACCUUCCAGUCCCUUCCGCAAAGCACUUCUGCUCCUCGUCGUCGUCGUCGUCUUCUCCACCUGCUUCACUUCCGAAACCGCAAUCACCUCCUUCUCCUGAAUCUCCUGAAUUUCCUGAUGAUCCAACUCCAGGGCUUUGGAACUCGACCCGGUCUCCGCUAUCAGAUUCUUCUCCUUUAGCAUCUGCAGCAAACCGGCGACGCCGGCGAUGGUGUCGGAGUCCGACACCACCGAAGCCCCUCCUCCCAGUCCUCCCUGGCGCUCCAGAGCCUGGAUUUUAAGCUUGAGCUCCGCAAUUUCACGGAGGAGCGCGUCGCGGUCGCGCGCCCAGCGCUGUUCCUCCCGGAGCCACCUCUGCUCCUCGCGGAGCCAUCGCUGCUCUUCGCGGAGCCACCGGGACUCUUCGGUUUCGUCGUGGGAGGAAUUUGAAGAGAAGCAGAUGGUGUUGGGGGGUUUUAAGGAUUUGAAGGAGAGGGAAAGUGGGGAGAGAGUGUAGUAGUGGUGGCGCCUGGGGAGGAGAGGAGGAGGAGGAGGAGGAGGAGGGUGAAGAAAGAGAACGAGAGAGGAAGCUGCAGACAUCUGUGAGAAAUCACAGGCGAAAAUUGAAACGCAGAGGAAGAAGAAGAAGAUAUGAGUGAGUGAAGGAGUGAAAACAGUGAUAUGUAUUUGAGUGGAUAUCAGUGGCUCACCCAACCGUCACCAUUUGGGAACCGCCACUUCCAACCGUUGGAACGCAUUUUUGUUCACCAUGCUAAAUCGAUUAUUAUAAGAAAACUUUAAUGAAAAAAUUCCGAUAAAUUUUGAAAUUUGUUUAAUAAAAGCAGUAUAUGCCUACAUACAAGGUAUGUGAAAUUUUUUACUUUGGUUGUUAAAAUUGAAAGAGAGAUGAAGAGAGUGAGAGAGAACAUAGGAGUGAGGAAAGAGGGAGAGAGGUUGUUUUUUAUUUUUUAUAAACAUGUAGGUGAGGUUAGGGGUGGGCAAACGGGUCCUGGACCCGCGGGUAGGGGCGGGUAUUGGCGGUUCGGGGCGGGUACGGGGCGGGUCCGUAUUCUUUUAGGUACAAAACGGGGCGGGGCGGGGCGGGUCCAAGUAAACAAAGGGGCGGGCCGGUUCCAAUUUUUUGAAGUCGCGGGCCCCCGGCCCGAACCGUUUGCAAACCUCACACUCUCAAAUAUCUCUCUCACACACACUCAAAUCUCACAAACGCACACACAUCUCAGCUUUCUGGAAGAUUCUCCCGAGUCCUCCUGAGUCCUCCCGAGUCCCUCCCUGCCGAUCUCUAUCUUUCUUUCAGUCUUCCCUAUCGAUCUCUCUCUCCCAAAGUCAUCAUUCUCCAUUCAUCGAUUCUCCCGAGUCCUCCCUCUCGAUCUUUCUCUCCUAGAGCCUUCCCUAUCGAUCUCUCUCUCCCAGAGUCCUCCUUCUCGAUUCGUUGAUUCUCCCGAGUCCUCCCUUUCUAUCUCUAUCUCCGAGAGUCUUCCUUCUCGAUCUCUUUCUCCCAGGGUCUUCCCUCUCGAUCUCUCUCUCCUGGAGUCCUCCCUCUCGAUUCUCAAUCUCAUCUCCCACAACACCACUAUCGCCGUCGUCUCCUGACUCUUCUCCCAAUCGUGACACCCAUCAUCGCCGUUGAAAACACCACCAUAAUCUAAGCGGUUCAGCAGCUACAGCAGCUAAUAGGUAUGCCUAAUUUCGCAUUUCAGUAUUGUUGGGUAGAAUUGAAAGGAACCCAGAUGGAGAGUUUUAAUUUUUAUUUGAAUUGCAUGUUAUCCAGAUGAAAAAUUGAAUUUUCGAGCUACGGUUUUUCGAUUUUUUUAAUUUGGGAUUUCAAUUUUAUUGCUUUUUCUCAUAUAUGAUAAUGGUUAUGGUUUUUCUAGCGAAUUCUGAUUAUUUUACGAUCUGGGUUUAAUGAUUUUAGAUGGGGAUCAAGUAUAAUACGUGUGUAGAGGUUCUUCUUUGAAUUGCUAUGUGUGCAACAGCUUUGUUCAGUUAGCUAUCUAAUUGUUGAUUCUCAGUUAGGGUUUUGAGCAUCCAAAGUAUCAAUUCUUUGUGGGUUUGAUUUGUCAAGAGUUUUUUUUUUUUAAUGAAAGAAUAAGAAUUUACUUGCUUUACUGAAUUUUGGAAAAUCAUGCUGUGAAGGAUCUUGCAGGACUUGUUGAAGUCGUCUUUUUAUUCGCUUUGGGAGCUCGAUUUGGCUUGAUUUCAGGCCACUGGUUCGAGUUUGGUUGUCCUUCUAAUGGCAGCAGUGGCGGAGGAUGCAGCGGCAGAGGAUGAAGGUGUUAGGGCUUUUUAUGCUGGGCUUGGUUUCGUUGUCCUAUUGUAUUUAGGCUUGUAAAUGUGAAUGUGUUGUUGGUAAUAAAAAAAAGCAGCCCAAUGUCAGACCCAGAAAAAAAAAAAAAAAAAAAAAAAAAGAGUAAUUGGACCCGUAAACCCGUCCCGAACCGGCCCGUUUAAAACGAGCCGGGUUAGGUCCGGUUCCUAAAUUCAAAAUCUCUCUACCCGGCCCGCCCCGGCCCGUUACAUUUUAAAACGGGUAGGUCCGGUUCCUCUAAAUUUGGGCCCGGCCCGGCCCGUGCCCACCCCUAGGUGAGGUUUUAGAAAAAUAAAAAAAACAAAAUUUUGUUUUGUGAAAUUACUUUACUGUUCUUAAAUUUUUGUUGUUGUGAUAGAAGACAAAAAUAUUUUUUCGCCCUCUUCUGAUUGACAAAAAGGGUUUCAUUAAUGUAGUUUUAGAUAAAAUAGAUUAAAUCAAAUUUAUUCAAAGGUAAUGAAUUUAGUGAUGAUAAAAAAAAAAUCACUUUAGGGUGGUGAACAAAUUUUUUUUUUUCUCACUAAUAUACAUUUUAAUUGAUUUCAAUUUUUGAAAUACUCUCCCUUACCUCAAUGUGAUAGUUCGAACGCUCCCUCUCUCUUAAUAAUAAUACAUUUUUCUACAAAUAGUGAAAGCGUAACAGCAAAAAAUUAUUGCCACAACUUUUAAUUUACUUUUUCGAAGUAUUAAAAUAUCGUUAUAAAAACAUUUCACGUGUCAUUUUAGACGCAUAUAAUUUAUAAGCUUCGUAAAACAAAUAGCUCGCAUCUAAACAUAAUCAGCCAAACAGCUGUAACAACAAACUAUCCACCGGACGCUUCAAAGACCGGAUCUGCUAUAAGGCAGGGGGCUCUUCAAAGUUCAACCGAGAGAGAAAAUUGUCACAAAGCAGAGCUAUUCGAGUGAUGCGGUGAACAACUUCAUUUGCUUGGAAGAGACAUAGUUUAUCUGUGUCUCUGAUAGCUUAAGCUAAAUAACUUUCGCAUGUGUAUUGGAUACAAGCCUUUUGAGGUCAGAAUUAGAUGUAUUUAAUCCUCUAACAAACGCACUAAGCUAAAAGCUCGCAAUCAGAUCUGAAUGGAGAUUCCAAGAAGUAGGUUCUCAUGUGUUAGAAUAAGUCACUUGUUGAUUUGGCGUGCACUAUCAAUUUAUAUUAAAGAUUAUUAUGGAGACAGUGCAUAUAUUGCAAUGUAUAAGAUUGAACUUAUGUUCUUAAUGGAUACUAGGGUCUUUAUAUGUGGAGUGGUGUGCUUUGGGAUGAGCAAAAUACCCAUGGAUUUAGGUAAACGCGCUUUCCCGUCUAUUUAAAGUUGACAGUUACAGUUAUGGGUAACCGUUGAGACGAAUAACGGUUAUGAGUAUAACCGUUUAUAUGUGAAAUUUAAAUGAACGGUUAUGGGUAUUAUCCAAGGUUAUAACGGGUAUUCAUUUAUCCAUUUAAUUUAGGGAACUUUAACGAAAAGCACCCGGUACUGUUCAUUUUAACGAAAAACCACAUUUUUACACUAAAAAGUCAAUCCUGGUACUAUUCACUUUACCCUUUAUUUUGUCCUUAUCAUUGAAACUCAAAGUUUUCAAGCUCUUUUCAUUAGUUUUCCUUUUAAUUUAAUAUAUGUAAAUUUUGAAAAAAAUAUUAAAAACCCUCAACUCAGUCAUUCUCUCUCCGUCUCUACAUAAUUCAGUGCAAAAACUUGGCCCUGUCAAACAAUCAACAAAAGAAACUCAAACUUCGAAAACAAGUGGUUAAGAACCCACUGGGGCAUUACAUCGAACACCCCGGCGGGCACCCUAAUCGGAGCAGAUUUUCUUCAACUUAUCAGCCGCAGAUUCAUCCACAGAGUACUGCAAUCGCAGGAAAUCCCAAUUGGGUUCAACAGAAACACACACAAAAAUGUCCAAAACCAAUAAAUAUUCCAAAUUUGUGUUUUUAGUGAUAGAAAUUACGACGUUGUACCUUAUUUAGGACCCAGAGGGAAUGAUUGUAGGCCCUGAGGAAGAGAUCGUGGAGGGCCUUGUCGUCGUUGGCCUCGACCUCUCUGUAAUUGACGAAGUUCUCGCGGGCGUACUUGGCGUAGUAAGGUUGAGAGUCCUUUGGUAACCUCCUCACCAAUCUCAGAACCUCCCCGUAGAUUUUCAAUGCUUUCUCCAUAUCUCGACUCCCAGCACCGUCGAUCAGCGAUCACAGCAUCAGAACCUCCACGAAUAAAAAGGGCUUUUACUUGUCUUCACAAACGGGCCUCUGUUUAUUGCGCAACAGACAUAUUGGAGUUGGUAUGGGCCGUACCAAGCAGUUAUUUCUAAUGGGGCACUAUAUGCACCCAACCCAAUUUAAUAUAACGAUGUUUAAUUGUCAGAAAAUAAAAAUUUUUUUUGUAAUUUUCAAGUUGUUAAAAAAAAUAUGUAGAUAAGUGAAAAAAUGGGUAAAUUGGUAAAAAAAAGUAUAACCAGGUUCAAAAAUGGGUAAAUGGUUAUGGUUAAAUAGGUACACGGUUAUGCGUAUGGAUAACUGUUUAUAAACGGUUAUGAUUAUGGGUAUAACCGUUUAUACAAUUACCCAACAGGCAAACGGUUAUGCGGGUAUGAACAUAAACGGUUAUGGAUAAAUAACCGCAGUUAUCCGUCCGCCAUAACCAUUGCCAAUCCCUAGGUGUGCUUGAUUGCAGUGUACAUUUGACUGUUCACCUAUAUGAGUGUGGAAGUGAGGCUGCUUCCUAUGACAGCUUAGGCAGGUUCUCUAGAGCACUCAUGAUAAUUCAGCUUGGGCAGGUUCUGUUUACAUUUUCUCAUUAUUUAUCACCAUGUACUAAUUUGACAUGGUGAUAAAUAAUAAUUGUCUAAGGACUGGAUGAUGAUGCUACCAGUAUUACCCAAAUCAAUAUUACAAAUGUUAAAAAGUGGGAAGGCGUACCCUGAAAUGCAAGGCAAAUUGUCAAAGGACUGGUUGAUGAUGAAGAAAGGAUUGAAUUAUUUGCCUUAUUCAAAACUUGGAAGAUGGAAUUUAAUACACCAAAUACAUAUAUCAGAGAAUCUCCUCUACAACCCUCUAAUCCAGAUAAUAAUUGACUGAACAUGCCAUGAAUCUUCUUGCUCAUACACUUAGUACCUAAACCAUGCUUUACAAAAAACAACCCUGUAUCGAACAAUCAACUUUUCCAUAAAGGUAAAGGUAAAUACCCAAUUUAUGCCAACCAUGCGUAAACGAGCGAGCAUCUGAUAGGGGCUUGAAAAACCUGGAACCAUUUUCAAUAUCAUCAAACAACAGAAUCCCAAUAACAUUAAUCAAGGAUGCAUACAAGAACACAAUUACUUAAACACGCAUCAGAAAAGGUUUAGCGGCAACCUGGGCCUGAAACAUUGAUCAAGUAGCUGCCUGCCAUGCUCAGUCCAGCUUGACAUUAGAGUAGAGUAAUGUAUCCCUGGUGACUGGCAUAUUCAGAAGGAAGCACACCUAUAUAAAGAAAAUACACAAAACAGGUAAAUAUCCUUCUAACCACCAAACAGUUAAACACAUUAUUGACCCACACGAUCGGUCUAAAAAUAUAAUUUAACAAUCAUUAGAUGAUUCACUUUUGUACAUUCAAGAAAAACAUCAGAUAAAAAGCGGUUCAAGUAGAACUAGGUUCAUUGUUUCAUCCUUAAGUUUGUCAUGUCCUGGCCAAAGUCCAGCAAAGCAUCAGAUGUUAUGGCCAAUGGGUUUUGUUCAUGGUUUUUUCUCCUUUUUCGUUUUCAGCUGCGACUUUGAUCUUUAAGGACGGUGAAACUUACCCCCAAAAGAGUUGAAAUGAUAAGAAUAAUUCCUGUGAUCCAAGCAAGUGUACGCCUAACCAAUAACACUUGCACAAUUUUUGUAUUAUUCAGGCCUUCUUUUUCAGCCAACAAACGAGCAUAUGAUCGACUAGUAUACAUCACAUUCAACAUCUUUCCCGACUCCACAGGUGCAACUCCAUUGAAAAGGAUAGCUCCAACAAUUUGACCUGCAAAAUUGUUAAUUUAACAUUAUUUCUAAAGAUGAUGACGAAAAAUUUCAAAUGAACUAUUGAAUGAAGAAAAUAUAUAUUCAUAAAAGUACCAAAUAUAUGGCAGAUAUACACAUAAAAUUGGCAACAAUGUUUCUAGAAAGAACAAUUGCUUUAAAAGAACGAGAAUUAACUAAUAAAGUUUAAAAUCAAAAUGAUUACCUUUGUAGGCAUUUUCAAGUGAAUCAAAUAUCUUGGACAGUGUAGCAAGUAGUAGCUCCACUCCAUGUUGAGCUGCUCCAUCAGUUCCAUACUGCUCUUGCAAAACCUAUCAUAAGGUUUUGAAGUUUUUUUAUUAAGCUAUGGAACUCGAUGCAGACACACAAUAAGAAUAAACAAAAGAACACAGAGUCAAGAAAGUGCAUGCAUAUGAUUUGACUGCGUGUGCACAAUUAAUAUAUGCACAUAUAUCAAAUAUAUGAAAUUUAUGGAAUGCAGCUUGGAUACUAUAUUUUGAUAUACUCUUUUCUUCUUAAGGAGAAAAAAAAAUAUUUUAUUGAAUAUGUAUCAACUAAUCAAAGUGAAGAAGCAGCCUACAAAGCAAACAAACAGACCUCUAACCAGUAAAUUGCUAUAUAUGAAAAACAUAAAAUGCCCAAAAGUAUCUUUAAUUAGAAGCACAAAACAUCCCACAAGCUAACCAAAAAUGAACUUUAACACUGUGGCCUUCCAAUCCACAUGAACAAUAGAAUAGUAUAUCCCAAAUCCAGAGGGAGUCAAAGCACACAAUGAUGUCCAAAAGAAAAUUCCACCCUACAUACCUGCACUGGUAUAUAUUUAGAUCUUGUUUAUCCUUGUUCCUAACCACAAUUUUCUUUUCUCACUUUUAAACAAGUAGCUGGAUCCAUAAUCCAUAAUCACUUUUAAACGAGUAAUUAAUCUGUAAACUGAAAUUACAGUAUUACUAUUACACCAAUACUCCUCACUAUUUUACACCUAAAUUAAAGGACCUACUUGUUUCGGUAAAGACAUUGCACAUAAAAUUGACCAUUACACGAUGAAAUAGGUAUGUUGUAUUUUUGUGUUCGUAGUGAUGAUAGGGAGCUGGAUGUUAUGGAUACAUUCUACCUCUAGUGAACUACUGGUCCACUGCAAGCAUGUUUUGUUUCUUAUUAACAAGAACAAAACAAAAAAGAGCAUAAAAGCAAACAACCACACUUCAAAAUAUGUUCUUUAUUACUUGGACUCAACCCAUGUUUGAGCAGUGGGUUGAUGGUGAUAACCAUACCCCAAAAAGAGAAGUACCCCACAAGCAAAAAGAUCUCUAAACUAUAUUAUGCAUACAAGAAUGUGGAUAGUCUAAGAUUUCCAGAAUCCAUAAAUUUUCAGUACCGUGGAGUUCCACAAAUGAAGUACAAAAAACCUUCGAAGGAUACUCUUAACAGAAGAGUACAUUAUCACUUAUAUUAACCAAUGUUUUAAAAGGCUCGCCUUAGAGGCCACCAAGAGGGUUGCUGCCUUUGUUUUGAGGGAGUGGGCGGAAGACAUUGCCAGAGCCGCCUAGGCAGCGGAGGCGCGCCUCAGGCCGUCCAGGCAUCUCUGUUUGGCUGUUUUUUUAUUUAUUUUUUUAUUUUAACUCCCAAACCCAAAUUUUGGGUAGGGUUUUAACUGUCUCAUACCUCUUCCUUGCAUUAUCGUCUCUCUGCCUUUUUUUAUGAUUUUUAUUUUUUUAUAUAAUGGAUGUGUGUGUGCUGUCUGCGUGCAUUGUUAUAUGUCUGCUCAUUGUGCUUUUCAUCCUCAAUUAUAUAUAUAUAUAUAUAUAUAAUAUAAUAUAAUAUAUGUAUAUAUAGGUCGUACCCAGUGCACAAGGCUCCCGCUUUACGCAGGAUCUGGGAGAGGUGAAUGUCGGCUAGCCUUACCCUCAUUUAUGGAGAGGUUGCUCCCAAUAUGUAUAUAUAUUUAUAAUACAUGUGUGUGCUCAAGAUGAUUAUUGAUUAAUAAUCUUUUUUUUUAAUAUAAUAUGUGUACGCUCAGUGUAUAUAUUAAAACAUUUAGGUCCGUGAGGCUUCGCCUCACGCCUAGGUCGGGCUAUCCCUCUGACUCCUCACCCACGCCUCACGCUUUUAAUAAAUUGAUAUUAACUGAGAAACUGUGGCUUGCCUGUCACAAUAGCAAAAAAACAUAUUCCCCCCCCCCCCCCCCCCCACCAAAAAAAAAAAAAAAAAAACAACCCCCUACAUAUACGUAUGUACACACAGCAAAAAUACUUUUUGUUGGUUACUACUUUGCCACAAGCAUAUUUGCUGACAUCCAUUUUAAACUUUAAAGUCAACCAAAAAAGGAAGAAAACAACACCUUGAUUCCAUCAAAACGGCCUGUUAAUAACUCAGCUGGGCUAUGGAUGUUGUGUGACAAAUCUUGAUGCAUUUCUGUUGCCCUUUUAAAGUUGCGGAUGAGAGACAGAAGGCUAGUUGUGAAUAUCCUAUCUGAUUCCUGUAAACGUAUACGAUGCAGGCCUUCCAAUAUAAACCACCAUUUUACAACAUGUAUACAAUGCAUAUCAAACAAAAUGAACAUGUUAUAGUCAAUCUCAGAAAACCUUUGACAUAUGAAGCUUCAAGUUGUCGCCAUUGGCCAAAGGGAUGCUCAACUCUCCAUUUAGUGGUUCUAAUGUAUCAACAACAUAUGAACCACUCAUCCAAGCUGCCUAAAGAAGACAAAAAUCUUAACAUUAAAAUUAAAGCAAAAACUCAAGUUCAUUUUCAUGUAUACAAGAAUAAAAAAAAAGCAUGGCAUGUCGAAUAAAUGAACAUAAAAAACAAAACAUGAUAUAGAAUAUCUUCAAGCCAGACUCACAAAAUCUCCAAUCUCCUUGUCAGUAUAAUCUGUCGAUUGUUCAUCCAAAGAAAACACAGAAACUUCACCUUCAUCUGCAACAACACAUAUAAUGAACAAAAUUUUACAUAAUUCUGAAUGAGGAAUAGACUAAUAGUAAUGUCCUUGCACUAGUUUCACAAGUUACUCGUUUUGAAAGGUCAUAUACCUGGAAGCUCGAUGUCAGCUUUGCUUGAGCCAAGGUCAAUCUUGGAACUGUAGGCACUGCUGAACAUGGCAUUGUCUUUGACUACAAGAGCAUGAUCUGCAUGUAUUUUGACAUACAUGUUUAUAAUAAGUGCACAAAGUAAUAUAAUAAUGGUAAAAGUGUCAUAAGUUAGCAUGCAUUUUACUAUUUUAGAGACAAUGUUAUAUACCAUCAAUUCCUCCAACUUCAAGCGCAACAACAGCACGAGGCCUAUUGAAUGGAUUAGGCACGAGAACCUCAUUCAACUACCACAAAGCAACAACAAAAUAUGAUAAAUUAGACCUUGGGUUAACACGAUGGGGGUAACUAGAGAAAAUAACUUCACAUUACUUAUUAUCCACAACACCUUAGCUGAACCAACAGCUGAGAGGGCGGAAGAUGGUGCAAAUCCAAGCAAAACUGACACGGCUGCACUGACUUCUGAGAGCAACAUUGAGUCGGGCUGCGAAAGCAAAAGGCAAGUAGUAUUAGCAGAUAAACGAAGAAAAAUCUGCAGUAUUCAAUAUCUAGAUAAAACAACUGAAAAAAAUACCCCUUGCAGUACCAAAAUCAAAUAUAACAAAAUGAGGUAUGCUUAAAAUUCCGCCAAAAAAAUCCCAGGAAUCCCUUUUGGGGGAAACAAGAAAUAUAUUGGCACGAUCAAAUUUCUAACAAUUUCAAGUUCAAUUAGACUGAAUUUAAUAUGUGAAGUUGUGAACUUUAAAUAAUUAAACUGAAUUGGGGAAUUCUGAAUCAACAAGCAAUUGCGGGAAUUACCUUGACGACAUCGUUUGACGAAGGGUUACGAAGAAAAUGAUGAGUGGAGCUAUCGAUGAAGAAGACAGAGGCAGUACCAUCAGCCUGAUUCAAAAACGAACAAAACAGUAAUCAGAUCGGAGACCUAUCAUUAUCACAUCGAUAUAUAUAUACGCACACAGAUACAUAUAUAUAUAUAUAUAUAUAUAUAGAGAGAGAGAGAGAGAGAGAGAGAGAGAGAGGCGAACCUUAGCGUUGGAGGAGAUAAACGAAGCAAUGGUGAGUAUGUAGAAGCAGAUGGUGCGUGUGAGUAAAGCCAUGGGAGAGAGAGGAUCUGAUCUGUGGCUCUGCUACUUGGAAUGAGGAAGGAGGGGCGAACUGACUUGUCCUUUUGAUUUCAAGAAAGAAGCCGCGAGCGACGUCGUAUCAGUUUAUAUUCUGUUUUCUUUUUUUUUCUUUUUCUUUUUUUUUUUGUCAGAUAGUUUGGAGCUAAAACCUAAUCAUGAGGAGUAUUUAUGUGAGCAAAUGCUAGUCUAUGACUAUAAACUUACUAUUCACGAAGAGCGAGGAAGAGUUUCUCUUCAAGUUAUCAAUGAAUCAUGAAUUUUGUUUUAAUGGUCGUAAUUGUUCAUAUUCUUACUCACGCACUGUGUAAAAAUUAUUUAUGCAAAAAAUCAAUAUUUAUAAGAUCAUCUUCGAACUAUAUAAAAAACAUAUGGAUGAAGGAAUCCAGUAAAAGAAUUUAUAAACCGUUUAUCUAUUUGCUACAGUUAAUUUAUUAAACGAUCUUAUUUUAAUUGAAUUUUUGUAAAGAUGAUUUUUACAAAAUGAUUUAUAAUAUGAACUAUUCUGAUUAUAAAUAGAAUGUUUCGUGAAUUGGUAUAAAGUAUCUUAAAAGAGUCAAGCCUUUCUCUUUCAAAAAUAUCAUUAUGUCCUUUUUUCUUUUCUUUUUUAAGUUACGCCCUUAUGAUGAAUAUUGAAUGAAAACACUACGACUUACGGGCAUAAGCUUUGUUUGACACCAACGUGAACAAAUAAUCAAAAUUUCAUAGGGGAAAACGGCAAUGCUACGAGUAUCACGCAAAUCAAUAUUACAAGUGUUAAAAGUGGGAAGGCGUACCCUGAAAUGGAGAGAGGAUCCUAAGAUCCUCCAAUCAUAUCCGUUCAUCAUACAUCGCGUGGGUCAAUUUUAUCAGAUAUUGUUUAUAUUCAAUUUUAAAUGAAAAAAUUUACAAUAAUUUCCGACCAUAAUGUAUGAUGAAUGGAUGUCAUUAAAAGAUCGUCCUGAAAUGCAAGGCAAUAGUCGAAGGACUGGACGAUGAUGAAGAAAAGAUUGAAUUAUUUGCUUUAUUCAAAACUUAAAAGAUGGAAUUUAAUACACCAAAUACAUAUAUCAUAAAGAAUCUCCUCUGUAACUCUAAUCCACAUAAUAAUUGACUUAACAAACCAUGAAUCUUCUUACUUAUACACCUAGCGCCUAAACCAUGCUUUACAUUACCCUGUAUCGAACAAUCAACUUUUCCAUAAAGGUAAAUACCCAAUUCAUGUCAACCGUGCGUGACUGAGUGAGCGUCUGAUGGGCUCGAAAAACCUGAACCAUGUUCAAUAUCAUCGAUCAACAGAAUCCCAAUAAUAUUAAUCAAGGAUUCAUACAAGAAUGCAAUUACGUAAAACACAUCAGAAAAGGUUUAGCGGCAACCUGUGCCUGAAACAUUGACCAAGUAGCUGCCUGCCAUGCUCAGUCCAGCUUGACGUUAGAGUAGAGUAACGUAUCCCUCGUGACUGGCAUAUUCAGAAGGAAGCAUACCUACAUAAAGAACAGACACAAAACAGGUAAACAUCCUUCUAAUCACAAAACAGGUAAACACUUCAUUGACCCACAUGAUCAGUCAAAAAAAUAUAUUUAACAAUCGUUAGAUGAUUCACUUUUGUACAUCCAAGAAAAACAUCCGAUAAAAAGUGGUUCAAGUAGAAUUAGUUUCAUUGUUUCAUCCUUAAGUUUGUAAUGUCCCGUCCAAAGUCAAGCAAAGCAUCAGACAAAAAGUGGUUCAGGGCCGAUGGGUUUUGUUCAUGGUUUAUUCUCCUUUUUCGUUUUCAGCUGCGACUAUGAUCUUUAACGACAAGUGAAACAUACCCCCAAAAGAGUUGAAAUGAUAAGAAUAAUUCCUGUGAUCCAAGCAAGUGUACGCCUAACCAAUAACACUUGCACAAUUUUUGUGUUAUUCAGGCCUUCUUUUUCAGCCAACAAACGAGCAGAUGAUCGACAAGUAUACAUCACAUUCAACAUCUUUCCCGACUCCACAGGUGCAACUCCAUUGAAGAGGAUAGCUCCAACAAUUUGACCUGCAAAAUUGUUAAUUUAACAUUAUUUCUGAAGACGACGACGAUGAAAAAUUUCAAAUGAACUAUUGAAUGAAGAAAAUAUAUAUUCAUAAAAGUACCAAAUAUAUGGCAGAUAUACACAUAAAAUUGGCAACGAUCAUUCUCAAAACAAUCAUUGCCUUAAAAGAACGAGAAUUAACUCAUAAAGUUUAAAACCAAAAUGAUCACCUUUGUAUGCAUUUUCAAGUGAAUCAAAUAUCUUGGACAGUGUAGCAAGCAGUAGCUCCACUCCAUGUUGAGCAGCUCCAUCAGUUCCAUACUGCUCUUGCAAAACCUAUCAUAAGAUUUUGAAUUUUUUUAUUAAGCUAUGGAACUCAAUACAGACACACAAUAAGAAUACACAAAAGAACACACAGACAAGAAAGUGCACGCAUAUGAUUUGGCUGCGUGUGCACGAUUAUACAUGCACAUAUACCAAAUAUAUGAAACUUAUGCAAUGCAGUUUCGAUACUAUAUUUUGAUAUACUCUUUUCUUCUUAAGGAGAAAACAAAUAUUUUAUUGAAAAUGUAUCAACUAAUCAAAGUGAAGAAGCAGCCUACAAAGAAAACAAACAGAACCGGUAAACUGCUAUGUAUGAAAAACAUAAAAUGCCCAAACGUAUCUUUAAUUAGAACAACAAAACAUCCCACAAGCUAACCAAAAUGAACUUUAACACUGCGGCCUUCCAAUUCACAUGAAUAACAGAAUAGUAUAUCCCAAAUCCAGAGGGAGUCAAAGCACACAAUGAUGCCCAAAAGCAAAUUCCACCCUACAUACCCUCCACUGGCACAAUCUAAAAGAAAAUUACUGUACUUUGUUUAAUCCACACAACCCACAACAUAGUACAGUUAAAUACAAAAAGCUUAUUUCCUGGACCAGGAUUGAAAGAAGAUUUUUAGAUCUAGUUUGUCCUUGUUUCUAACCACAAUUUUCUUUUCUCACUUUUAAACGAGCAGCUGGAUUGGAAUUUUCCCUAAUCCCUAAUCACUUUUAAACGAGUAACUAAUCUGUAAACUGAAAUUACAGUAUUACACCAAUACUCCUCGCAUUUUAACACCUACAAUUAAAGGACCUACUUGUUUCGGUAAAAACAUUGCAAAUAAAAUUGACCGUUAUACAAUAAAAUAGUUCUGUUGUAUUUUUGUGUCCGUAGUGAUGAGAAGGGAGCUGGAUGCUUUAAUUCUACCAGAAAACAUAUUUGCUGACAUUCAUUUUAAACUUUGAAGUCAUCCCAAAAAGGAAGAAAACAACACCUUGAUUCCAUCAAAACGGCCUGUUAAUAACUCAGCUGGGCUAUGGAUGUUGUGUGACAAAUCUUGAUGGAUCUCUGUUGCCCUUUUAAAGUUGCAGAUCAGAUACAGAAGGCUAGUUGUGAAUAUCCUAUCUGAUUCCUGUAAACGUAUAUGAUGCAAGCCUUCCAAUAUAAGCCACCAGCUUUACAACAUGUACAGAAUGCAUAUCAAAACAAAAGAACAUGUUAUAGUGAAUCUCAGAAAACCUUUGACAUAUGAAGCUUCAAGUUGUCGCCAUUGGCCAAAGGGAUGCUCAACUCUCCAUUUAGUGGUUCUAAUGUAUCACAAUAUAUGAACCACUCAUCCAAGCUGCCUAAAGAAGACAAAAAUCGUAACAUUAAAAUUAAAGCGAAAACUCAAGUUCAUUUCAUGUAUACAAGAAUAAAAAACCAGGCAUGUGGAAUAGAUGAACAUCAAAAACGAAACAAGAUAUAGAAUAUCUUCAAGCCAAGACUCACAAAAUCUCCAAUGUCUUUGUCAGUAUAAUCUGUGGAUUGUUCAUCCAAAGAAAACACAGAAACUUCACCCUCAUCUGCAACAACACGUAUAAUGAACAAAAUUUACAUAAUUCUAAACGAGGAAUAGACUAAUAGUAAUGUCCUUGCACUAGUUUCACAAAUUACUCAUUUAGAAAGGUAAUAUACCUGGAAGCUCGAUGUCAGCUUUGCUUGAGCGAAGGUCAAUCUUGGAACUAUAGGCAUUGCUGAACAUGACAUUGUCUUUGACUACAAGAGCAUGAUCUGCAUGUAUUUUGACAUACAUGUUUAUAAUAAGUGCACAAAGUAAUAUAGUAAUGGUAAAAGUGUCAUACGUAAACAUGCAUUUUUUACUAUUUUAGAGACAAAGUUAUAUACCACCAAUUCCUCCGACUUCAAGCGCAACAACAGCACGAGGCCUAUUGAAUGGAUUAGGCACAAGAAUCUCAUUCAACUUCCGCAAGGCAACAACAAAAUAUGAUAAAUUAGACCUCUGAGUAACACGAUGGGGGUAACUAGAGAAAAUAACUUCACAUUACUUAUUAUCCACAACACCUUAGCUGAACCAGCAGCUGAGAAAGUGGAAGGUGGUGCAAAUCCAAGCAAGACUGACACGGCUGCACUGACUUCUGAGAGCAACAUUGAGUCGGGCUGCGAAAGCAAAAGGCAAGUAGUAUUAGCAAAUAAACGAAGAAAAAUCUGCACGUAUUCAAUAUCUAGAUGAAACAACUGAAAAAAUACCCUUGCAGUACCAAAAUCAAAUAUAACAAAAUGAGGUAUGCUUAAAAUUCCGCCAAAAAAUAUCCCAGGAAUCUCUUUUGGGGGGGGCAAACGAGAAAUAUAUUGACACGAUCAAAUUUCUAAAAAUUUCAAGUUCAAUUAGACUGAAAUUAAUAUGUGAAGUUGCGAACUUUAUAUAAUUAAAUUGAAUUGGGGAAUACUGAAUCAAGAGGCAAUUGCUGGAAUUACCUUGACAACAUCGUUUGAGGAAGGGUUACGAAGAAAUUGAUGAGUGGAGCUAUCGAUGAAGAAGACGGAGGCAGUUCCGUCAGCCUGAUUCAAAAACGAACGAAACGGUAAUCAGAUCGGCGACCUACCAUUGUCACGUAUAUAUAGAUACAGAGACAUAUUUAUAUAAUAUAGUGAAAGCGAGAGAGAGAGGCGAACCUUAGCAUUAGAGGAGAUAAACGAAGCAAUUGUGAGUAUGUAGAAGCAGAUUGUGCGUGCUAGUAAAUCCAUGGCGCAGAGAGGAUCUGACCUGUGGCUCUGCUACUUGGAUUGAGGAAGGAGGGGCGAACCGAUUUGUCCUGGUUAUUUAUUUACAAAAUCCUUUUUUAUUUCAAGAAAGUAGCGGGGAGCGACGUCGUAUCAGGCUAUAUUCUUUUUUCUCUCCUCUCUUUUUUUUUUUUUUUUUGUCUGAUGGUUUGGGACUAAAACCCAAACAUUACUAUUCACGAAGAGUGAGGAGGAAGUUUCUCUUCAGGAUAUCAAAUGAAUCACAAAUUUUGUACUAAUAAUUGUAAUUUUUCAUAUUACUACUCACGCACUCUGUAAAAAUAAUUUAUGCAAAAAAUUAAUAAAAUAUAAGAUUGUGGUCUUAUAACUAUAUAAAAAUUUAUAGUGGAAUCCAACAAAAAAAAUUAUAAACCGUUGAUAUAUUUGCUACAAUUAAUUGAUUAAACGAUCUUAUUUUAAUUGAAUUUUUACAAAAAUGAUCUUUACAUAAUUAUUUGUAAUAUGAACGAUUCUAAUUAUAAGCACGAAAUUAUGUAAAUUAGUAACAAAAUAUCGAGAAACUUCACUUCAAUCUUAAAGACUCAAGUCUUUCUCUUUCGAAAAAUACCAUUUAUGUCCAAUUUUUUUCAAGCUAUGCCCUUAUUUUAUUAAAUAACGUUUUAAUCAUUAGGGGAAUGUAUAUCAAACUACUAAAUAAAAUAUUAAAGAGUAAUGCUAAAAAGAUUAAAUUUGGAAAUUAAAAUUGUAAACUAAAUAAUGUGUCACUAAUAGAAAUGAGCACGUCUCUCAACACUUAAGUAAUAAACCAAUCAUCAACUUUCAUGUCAUUUAGUUUCCGAAAUUUCAUCUCCAAAUUGAGUCAUUGCUCAAAUAUUAAAACAUUAAAAUUCUUACAACCCCACUUUUCUUAUCUACAACUCCUCACAAUUGCUCAACCUAUGCAUCCUAUGCAUAGCAUGUGAGCAAUUGCUAGGUUAUGAUUAAAGAAUUUGCAUGUAUAUGUAUUUGCUAGGAAUGACUUGCAAUGAAUGUGUAUUAUGUAUUUACUAAGGCCUUCUAAAAUGGAGUCUGAUUCCAUAUUGGAAUCAAACUUUUACAGCGGGUUAGAAAAUUUGAGUUCUACGAAAGUGAUUCUAUUUUUUGAGUUCGGUAUUGAACUUGUGAGUUUGAUUCCUAUAUAAUAAAUGGCCAACUUCUAAGUAAUGAAAAGGUGGUUGAUACAUGGUAUGACAUUACCUAGAACAUGAAGCUAUAUGAUAACUAAUGGGAAUUGUUUGAUUCAUAUUCAUUCUUUCCCAUCCCCGUACGAAAGCAAGCAAACGCAUGUAUAUAAAGCGAGAAAGCAAAAACAGUGCAACGUUGUUCUACUAAUAAAAAGAUGGUUAUUUUUACCAAAAAAUAAAAAUAAAAAGAUGGUUAAGACUAAAAUGCACCUUUAGUUAAUUAAGAGCAUCUCCAAUUAUGUUUUUUUAUUUUUUAGUUAAAUUUUAGAUAAAAUUACUAGAAAGCUAUUUUAGGACUUCCCUUAUUUAGUGUUAUUAUUUAUGACUAUCUAUACACCUAUUUUUAUUUCUCACACAUUUCCUGUGAAAUUAUCACAGAGAUAAGCAGAAGGCUCAAUUUCAACAACACAGAUAUUAUCCCCCAAUUUGUUAAUUAGCACAUACAUAAUCCGUUAGGUGUGGAGUUUUAUUACAAAAUGUUUCGGUAUUAGUUGAACUAGGAUUAAGAUAUUUAAACUCUUGAUACGGUCGAUUUAGGAUACUUGAACAUCAUUUUCAAUUUUUAACUAUCAGAUCGAAUGAAUUAAAUCAAUCAUCCAAAAUUAACAAGAAUCUGUAAAAGAUUUAAUUAAAUGUAUAAAUAGCACUAUCCAAUUUAUAUUGCUUGUUUAGUAAAAGCUGGUUGUAGAGCAAUAAAUGUGCCUUAGCUUUAUAUGUAGUUAAUUUAAUUUGUACACAAAACCAUCAUCACUUCACACUACCAUUAAGGGCAAUGUGUUGGACAAUCAUACAAAUUUGAGGGAAACAUACAACUACAUACAAUUGUAAGAAUAGUUCAGUUGGCUAAAAAUACUAGUUUUUGUCUCUACAUUCAAAUUUGAAUUCUACUUCUCAUCAUUUAAUUUAAAAUUAAAUUAGAUUAUUGCUUGAAAAAAAUAAACCGCUAUGAACAUCAUCGCCCCUUAAUUAAUAGUCUAUGUAAAGUACUGAAAAUAUAUUUGAAAUAUGAUAUGGUGAGGAUAUAUUAGAAGUUGACAGUGCUUUCCCUUGCAUGGAGAGUGUUUGCAUGACAAAGCCAAUACUAUAGCAUGUAAGAUUGAACGUCUCUAUAGCUAACUAGCUAAUAACCACAAUAAGCUUCAUGGUGAUGACGAGAAGGAAAUAACAAGAACAAUACCGAAGCUGGAAAUAAUUAAGAACCUCCUAUUAACACAUUAUAUUAUGUAGCUUCUAAAUCUCAAUUCAUCAUUGCAGUAGGUAGAUGCAACAUAAACUCAUGGUCAUAUGUAUCCUUGCACUCUUUAGUGGCCACCGCCAGCUCCAAAUCCAGAUCCACCCCCGGCACCACCACCAAAACCACCUCCUCCACCAAAACCACCACCUCCACCACCGCCUAGUCCACCUCCAACUCCUCCGCCUUUCCCAAACCCUCCACCAGCUCCAAACCCUCCUCCAGAACCACCACCAACACCACCACCACCCCCAAACCCACCUCCACCACCACCACCGCCUCCAAGACCUCCGCCAGCACCAGCACCACCGCCAAAACCUCCACCUGCACCACCACCCGCUCCACCACCGCCGCCAAGACCACCACCUCCUCCAAGACCACCACCUCCGCCAGCUCCACCUCCGGCACCAAAUCCACCACC